This 45896-nucleotide long non-coding RNA is filed under the name Coffea arabica (coffee). RNAcentral describes it as "long non-coding RNA (CARA_LNC007301)". The record is from RNAcentral. Lineage: Eukaryota; Viridiplantae; Streptophyta; Magnoliopsida; Gentianales; Rubiaceae.
ACAACCAGGAGUACAUUUGAUUUCAUCCCUCCUUCGGUAGAUAGCGAUCGAGAGGAACUGAUCAGACAGCACCAGCAUAGGACCGUAGCAUGGACUUGAAAGUUACCUCGUGAUGAAGGUAGGGGAAGACCAUGAUGCCUCCAUAAACAGAAGAGUUCUUCAGAUAGGGAAGAACGUCAUCAACUAGCACAUUAGGUGGGAUGUAACCGCCCUCAGGUGCGAUAUCCUUGGAUAUAGGUAUUCCCAGGAACAAUAGAUUAACGCCUCUAUAAUUAGACCACCUGUCCCAACUCCGGAAGAGGAGACUGGUAUCCUUUGGAGGCCUAAUCUGACAAGAUGGGUUGUCGAAAAAUUCCACCCGCACCUGAUCAACGAGUCCAGUUUUGAUAGUUGCGUCAAGAGCAGGGUUAGGAAUAGGACAUUCCGCCGCUACAGCUAAGAUCACAUUUGGGUAUCCCUUAAGUGCCCGAGCAAGAUCAUCCAAGUAAUUCGUGUUUCCGCUGUGGAUGUGAAGCUCUACGCCAUCUAAAACAGCUUUGCCGAAUGGACGGUCGCUUGACUGACCGCCUAAGUAAGUGUUCCAGAUAUAGGCUGCCACUUCUUCUGCAUCUUCGACGGAAGAAAGCCUCGGAGGUCCUGCGAGAGAAAUAAAGACUUUGGUCUGAUGUUUCUGGCAAGAUUCUAUGUCUGCUGCGCUCGGUCGAGGAUGAAUUAUGCUCAAUUGAGGCAUCUGGCCACUGCCGAAAUCUUCCAGAAAGGCAAUAUUAACGUCGGUAGCGAAUUCUCGCCUGCAGAACUCACUCACACUUUUUGGUUCUGUAUGGCCUCGGCCCCAGUAUCGGACAAUUCCGGCAGCUUCGGAGGACCCAAUCAGAGAAGCAAUCAACAACAGGAAUGUUAUUGCUGAGAACAGUGGUUGCAAAGAGGCAGCCAUUUUCUUUUCUUUCUUUUCAGUGAUUUUUGCAGCUUUGCUUUGGUGAGUUCACUUGCACAAUGACUGACCAUUUUAUAGAUGAGUUUAUCUCAAGUGGAUGUUCAGCAUCUAGAAAAUCCAAACAUCCGUACAUGAAAACGUGGAUGGCAUGGUAUUAUUUUUCUGUUUUUAAUUUUGCGGGAGACUACCGUUGUACUCGCCUAACCUCAUCCGCAACUGGAUGAAGAAAGAUUUUCUUUUUUGGACGUUACAUGGCAGCUAUGGGGGGAAGGGGAACAGGUCCAAAGCCAGGCUCCAAAGCCAAUUCCCAGUUGGUUGUAGUUAAAGGGAUCUUCCUCUAACCUGCCGUCACAUCCUUUCCAGAAGCCAAGACAGCAGAAACUAUGUCCACAGCCGAGAUAUGUCUCUGCUGAAACAGAGCCAAAUUCCCUGCUAUCCAUAGCUUGUAUACCACAACAUUAUUGAAAGCCAAUCCCCGGACCUGACCAACAAAUGAGUUUGAGUGGCAGUACAGGUGCAAAUGCAAAAGUUCUAAUGGUUAAGGCCGAGAUUUCAAUAAUUAGAGAUGUUUUAGGUUCAAAACCCUCUUUGCUUCUUAAAUUCUACCCUUCAAUCCUACGUUAUUGAAGGCUCAAAACAUAUUGAGCCUUCAACUACUCAUCCUAUUUUUCUAGAAUUUUAAUUAUUUUUUCAAAAAUUGAUUCAUGCCUUCCGUUUGGAUUCACCAUAAUGUCAUGCAAUGCUUUGUUGCUUUUAAUUCCUUAUUUUUAACGUAGCCCCAAACGUGGCAUAUAAUAGUCACUCUCAAAAUAAAUGCAAUUAAUUAAUGGGAGAAUUGUAAUUUUGGUCCCUAAUUCAUAGUGUAUGCGCGGAAUUAUCCCCAAUCUAUUUCGAAAAUCAAUUUUGGUCCCUAAUCUAUUCAAUUUUGCGUUAAAGUGUACAAUUGAUGGAAUCUCUUCAAUUUCAAUCGGAAUUAAGUCACGUGAGAUCACGUGCUGGCACCUAAAACCCCUUUUUCAAUUUUUUAUUUCUAAAACACGUUUUUUCUAGUGGCUUGGCUUUUGGCAUGGACACUCCUGUUCCUUCAGCCAGAUCAAUUUCCUCCUCGCCAAUUCUUUUCCAAUCAAAACUCUGAAUUAGAGAUCCCAAGGCCAAACCCACUACCCGCUGUACUAGGCCAGAACCAGGGCAAGAUCUCCUUCCCAUACCAAAUGAAAUCAGCUUUGAUGGCUAAACUUGCAAGCUUUCGAAUCUCUCUGGCUUGAAGCUUGUUGGAUCAUCCCAUACGUUUGGGUCCCUGUGAACUGCCCAUGCAUUAACUAGCAAAAUUGUGCCUCGCAGAAUAUUGUAUCCCCUAAUUUUAUAGUCAUCGGACGACUCAUGUGGCACUAGCAUUGGUGCUGCUGGGUACAACUGAAGUGUUUCUAAAAUAAUGUUAUGAAGAUAAGAAAGAUUGGAUAGAUCAUGUUCAUCGACCAAUUGAUCAGUCCCUACUUGAGCAUCCAAUUUAGCUCGAGCUUUCUCUAGCACCUGAGGUGGUUGAACAAAAGAGACAAGGCCUAUUCUAUAGUCACUGAUGAAGUGUCGGUUGUGGCCGUAAGCAUGACCUACCAAUAAUAUACUAGUGGUUCAAUUGAAUGCUCAUUCCAGCUCAACGGUGAAGAAUGGCUAAUAUGGAAAAAUAAUUAUAUCCAUAAUAAUCAAUAUAAAAAGACUAAAAUACAAUCUUUUACUAACAUAAACUAAUAAUUUAAGUUCUUGUCCUCCAAAGAAAUAACAAUGCUCCAAAUCAUACAAGUUGAACAGCUUAGCAAAAUUAGCACAAUUGACUAACAAACACAACACAGAAUUACAAAAUAUUCAACAUUUUUGUAUUCUUUUUCUAACUAAAAUUUACAAAUCAUACCCAAAAAAAGAACUAAUCUAAGUUCCUAUCCUCUAAAGAUAUAACAAGAUUCCAAAUCAUAUAGUUGAACAAUUUAGCGAAUUAGCAAAAUUGACUAAAAAAAAUACAAAAAGAUAACAACAAAAAUUUCAAUAUAUUUUGUAGUGCUUUCCUAAAUAAAAUUUACAAAUUAUACCCAAAACAUAAAAAAAAAUGAAAUAUACUUAUCAGAUACUUCAAUUUUUAGAAUCAUCAUGCACAUAAAAUAAAAAAAAUAGCUCUAAAUUUCGGCCCAGACCUAGAUUUAAAAGUGGACCUGAAUUAUAUAUAAUCGGACGUUAUUCUUGCUAUUAGAAUUGUUAGAUUUUGUUAGAGAAUAAAAAAGAAAUAUAAUAUUUUUACCUAUUCUUUUGUUGAGCAAUUAGAAUCAAAAUUAUGUCCUAGUUAUGACUAAAGAAAUGGAGAAGGAUAUUUUGGAACAACUUAAAGUUCUUAUUUAAACUGAAGACAUAUUGAAACUACAAAAAUUAGUUUAGAAAGGAUAAUAUGAAAAUAAUGCACAAAAUUUGGCUCCAUAGAUGCAGCACCUACAGAAGGGAACUACGAAAAUUAGGUUAGAAAGGAUAAUAUGAAAAUAAUGCACAAAAUUUGGCUCCAUAGAUGCAGCAUCUACAGAAGGGACGAUUUGCAUUCAGGGGUUGCGGAGAUAUGGAAAAGUACUGUGGAAUGGGGUUGUUGCAAGGUAGAGCAUGAGGACAAGGGAAGAAGGAAGUAGGAAGGUGAUGAGGCAGGGGUUGUCGGAAAAGUUAAAGGAAGCUAAGGCUUAUUCGGACAGUAAUUUUGAAAAAUUAUUACGUUUUUCGUGAACAUAUUUUCUUAUUAUUUAAUAUUUAUCAAAUCGUUAUAAUAAAUUUUUUAUAAAAAAUCUAGAAAAACAAAAUUAAGAAUAAGGAUGUUUGUUAAACAAAAAUUAUAUUAUUUGUUAACAAUUGUUUGGAUGGGAGUGUUUUUCAAAAACUAGUUUUUCAAAUAAAAUAAAAUUUUUAAAAAGUACUUUAAAAGGUAAUCUAAAAAUUAGUUUAAUUUUUUUUUAAAAUUUUUAAAAAAAUUUUAAAAUAUAUUCUAGAAACUCUUCUACUCUUAAGUAUCCCAAAAUAUUUUCUAAAAAUAUCCUAAAAUAUGGUCUAAAAAUUCUGUUACAGUAAAAUUUUUCAAAAAUACCCCCAAAAACAAUUAUUCCAAACAGUUUACGAACGACAAUUCACAAAUGUUACACAAAGUGUCUCCAUUUUGAUGGGUUACUUUUAGAAUGGUUUUAGAAAACUUUCAUAAUGGGAAUAUUCUUUUAAAAUCUUUAUGUGUAGUAUUUUUUGGUCCUUUGAAAAUUUUUGGUAUGUUUUCAUUGUGGGCAUUGAAUAUAUUUAAAAAUGGUUGGUAAGCAAUAAAAUGAGUCUCGGCAAUAGCAAAAGAUUGUUGGUAAUGGGUCCACCGCAAGGUUGUGGGUUUAGGCUAGUAGGAAGGCGGUGGAGUGUAGGUGGCAAUUGGUAAAGAUUUAAGCUAAGUAAAUUUACUUAACAAUAUUAAAUUUACUUUGGAUUAAUCUUACAUAUAUACUAUCACUAGCAGACAUAUGACACAUGAGUAAAAAUUUUGGAAAAUUUUUUUUUACUCAUGUGUUAUAUAUCUAAUAGCGAUAAUAUAUACGCUGACUGACAGUGUAUAUAAAAUUUAUUCAUUUACGUUAUAGAAAUAUUAUAUUUACAUUUUUUCUCAUUUUAUGAGAUUAAAUUUACUUAACAAUAAAAUUUACUUAACCAUAUUAGUUUCAUAUUUCUAUUUUACCUGUUAAAUAAACUUAAUAAUAUUGCUAUAAACUUAAUAAAUGAUCAGCUCUUUCUGGCUUUACAUAUAAAGGGCAGCUUUUGAUUGUUCAAAAAUUACGUGACUAAUUUCCACAAAUUAUGCGAAUUGCGUGAUGCAGAGAACCUCUGCCUAACAGUAGACUUUUCACGGAUGAGGGGCUGGAGAGGUCAUAAGAAGGAUCGCUCUUGAGCUGUUUCCGAUCAAGAUUUAGUCCAAAAAAGUUGUACGAUUCAGAUCACUUAUUAUAUCUCAUUUUUAACAACGUGUGUGAUGUCCACAAAAAUUUGUUUUAAAGUUAUACAUUGUGCAAAUAAAAUUACGCUGUGUGUAAGCAAAGUUACGUGACGUGCAAAAUGUACAAAACCACCAAUCGUUCCUGCCCGUGGUCCACUUUUCACGUACCACGUGUAAGCAAUUAGUACAUCAUUUGGAAUUAUUUGGACAGCGGCCGUACGGACGUGGAUUGGUUUGAUAGAGCCUGGGAUUUCAUAAAAAAAGAUACUCUGAUGUAAAUCUUUUAUUUUUUUAGCAUGUGCCUUUUUUUGAUAAAAAAAAAAAAGAUAGACACAUUUUAUUAAUGAUGUAACAGGUAAUCAUCCAUGAGUUGCUUGACGAAAUUUGGAAGGAAAUUUCAAAGAGAUUAAAAAAAGAUUAGCACUCUUAGCGUGAUGGGUUAAAGUAUGCACUACCUUAAUUUGCUUCUCUUGGAAUCAUUGAAUAUCAAUAUAAAGCUGAUCUAGUAAAGCUAAAUGCGCAUCCUCAAUUUUGGAUCAUUUGUGGGCCUCAAUCAAAUAAUGCCCGGGGAUAUCACAAGUCAAUCGGCACUUACCACUAUGGACUUGAUUGGAACGAAAAUGCCUCACCAAUCCCUCAAUCCAUUCCAGUUGAAGUUAAGAUCAGCAAUAUCGUUAAUUAGCCCCUUAAGCUUUGUUUAAUCAUAACUUACCCCUAAUGUCUUACAUCUUAAGCAGAUACUCUUUUGGUUUUUUCAUCUUAAGCAGAUACCAUUUGCUAUAUCGUUGUCAAUUAAAUAGUUAAGCCAUUUGCUUGCUAGACUGAUGAGGGGAAUUAACAAUAUAAACCACUAAACAGAAAAUCUAGCAUUUAUAUUAAAUAUAAAAAUUUUACUGAUGCGUAUUAUUUUCUGCAAUCCUUAAACCAUCCAAGCCUAAGAAUUAAAAAUAAAAGGGCUACAUGAAUAAAAUAAAAGAUUGGAGAUUAAAGAUGCUUAAGAAAAAAAAAAGGGUUAAUUUAAAGGACUAAAUGAACUACCUGCGAAAUGUUUUUGUCCUUACAGAUUAAAUGAUCUGUCAUUACUAGCAUUUUCAUAAAACUUUAAAGGCGAAAAUGGUGUAACCCCAUAAGUUAAGAGGUAUAACUGUCAUCUUUUCCAUUUGUAAAAUUUUCAAUUGGUUUGCUUAUUUUCUGUCAAAUAUUUUUACAUUAAUUUAUUUUUCUAUAUGCUGACAAUACAUACCAUCAAGGUCGGAUGCAUGACCACUGAUAUGAAUUUGAGUUCGAAAUAUAAAUAUUUUGCAUUUGUAGUAUGCAUUAAACUCCGUUAACGUAUACACUAUUAGGAUGCAAAAGAUAAAUCCUAAUUUAAAUUGCAAACGAGAGGGUCGAAGUUGUGGGAAUCAGCAAAUCAAUUUUACGACCAGCUGCUGCUAAGGAAUGAACAUUUCCAUUAGUUGAACGCAGGAUAGGUCUCCACAAGAAUAUCUUGAUUUUCCAUGGCGGGUCAUUGUCCAGUGUGUAGGACCCAAAAAAAUUCCAAUGGAAAGUUACACGAGACAAAUUUCAUAGAACUAAUGGGAGAAUUACAUGGGAGAAGAGGAAUAAAUCAAUAAUAUAUUAUUAAUUACACAUAAUAACAUGGUUCUCAAAUUUCAUUCUUCUCAACUGAUAGUAAUAAUAACAAGACUAGAUUAGGUGAUUUGAUAAACAACUCUUACAAUCACAAGAAAUUUUCUAAUAAAAUACUAAUUCUUAAACAAUGAGACUACUAUAACUUAAGUCAAAUAGAAUUACUAAAACCCUAAUACAAAUAACUACUAAAUAUAUUUUUGAGCCUUGAUUUAAUAUGCCGUCAUAGUGGACUUGCAGUUGUCGUACACAACACGUUGUCAAGUUUUUUGCACAUCUUAAGCAAGUUUAUAUACUAGUCUUCUCGUCUAAAUGUUGUGUCAUCUUAAUCUAGAUCGGCAGAUUAAAUGACCAGAAUCAAGAUAUUAUCAGCUUAAGUCAAGAUAUUAUUAGCUUGCCUAUCUAACCACCACGCUAGAAAAACAAAUUUUCCUGUCUUCCAAUAACCCUUUAUCAUUUUUUCUCCCAAGAUAGUGUAUUUUGCUACACGUUCGAUCACAAAUCGGAAACUAUUAAGCGAAUGCAAACAUAAACCAGAAUUAACUUGUAAAAUGAAAGCUACUCACCUCAAAUUAUUGAUUUCAUGCUAGCCUUCAGAAUCCCAUUAGCUAUUCUUUCCAAUUCAUAUCCGUGAUUAUAUUUCCAAUCCAAUCUUUUUUGGAUCGUUUAUGGGUCCUAAUCAAAUAAUGCACCGGAAUAACAAGUCAUUAAACCGUCGGAAUGGGGUAGACUAAAAUGCAAAUGCCUCGCCAACUCCAUGAUCCAUAGCCAUUAAAAGAGUCGAAGACAAGAAAAGUAGAAGAAUAUUGUUAAUUUUGCAUCUUAAGUAGAUUGCUUUUCCUAUGUCGUAGUCAGUUAAACACUUAAAUCUUUACUGGCUCGACUUUUCCUUGAAGACUUCCGGUCGUCGGCAUUUUAUCACUUUCAUGUAGUUUCUUCAAAUGCAAAAUGGUGAAAUGAGACUUUUAAACGCGUAUAAAUGAAACCGCUUAUCUAAUCAUACUUUGUCAAAUAAACGAAUUCCAAAAGAAAUCCAAUGGAGCAUCAUCUUCAUUGUACUCCUUCAUCUUUACUAAUACUGUUGUUAUUCAGUUCUAUUCUUGUCACCAGCCAGUUCUCACUUCUCAUUUGGCUGCAGCAAACAAACUUAUAAUUAUUCAAAUGUCUCAUGUAUUGAGAGUGAACGACAAGCUCUUCUUCAAUUCAGAGAUGGGUUGAUAGAUGAAUCAAAUUGUUUGUCAUAUUGGAUAGGAGAGAACUGUUGUUCAUGGGAAAGCAUUGAUUGCUAUCAAACUACUGACCAUCUGGUGAAACUUGAUCUAUACAAUGCAAGCCCGUUACAUUCAAAUGAUAUAUUUAUUUACUGCAAAAAUUGUUUGGGAGGCCAAUUAAGUCCAUUUUUGGUCAAUUUAACCAAUUUGCGACACCUGAAUUGAAGCUGGAAUAAUUUUUCAGGAAUCCAAGUUCCUACGUUCCUUGGAUUGUUGAAAAACUUGAGAUACUUAAAUCUCGCAAAUGCAAUGUUUGAAGGUGAAAUUCUGGGCCAUCUAGGAAAUCUCUCAUGUUUACAAUAUUUAGAACUUGGAGGUUUAACUCCAUUCUUAAUAAUAAUAAUAAUAAAAUAGAGCUUCGAAUUUCUGCAAAAUAUUCAAUUUAUUUGGUGAUUUCUUGCAGGAAACUCCCAUGUUAAUUUAACUGCAAAAGUGAGGAUCAAAACUUAUUUAUGUAGCAACGUAAAUCAGUAAAUAAUUCAUCAAUAUUAUGAUUGCCAAUGCGAUACUUGUCGCCUUCCUGUUACAAGUCUCUUUCCAACGGGGAAAACCUACAGCAUAAAUGUCCAAUUAAUUCAUAAAUCAGAAUUAACUUGUAAUUGCAAUUAUAACCCGUUCGUCUCAAAUUCUGAUUAGUUUCGUCCUAGUCUUCAGAAUCCCAUUGGAUAAACUCUAUCAUUCCCAUCCCUACAAAGUUGUGUGCUUAGAUUUGCUUUCUCAUCUGAAUUACUGGUCAAUCCGUCGUCACAAUGGGAGUUGAUUAGAACGCAAAUGCCUCACCAACCAUAUUUCCAUUGAAGCCUCCAUAAUCCAUUCCCGUUGAAGUGAUGAUUAGCAAUAUCGUUAAUUAGCCCCUUCAGCUUUGUUUAAUCAUAGCUUGGCCCUGUUGCUUUUUAUAUCUUAAGGAGAUGCCUUUUACCAUAUCAUAGUCAAUUAAAUAGUUAAGAGUAAAACUGACAGUGUAUAUAUUAUCGCCGUUGGAUGCAUGAUAUAUAAUUAAAUUUUAAAUUUUAAAUUUAAAUUUACAUUACUUAUCAUUCAUCGAAAGGUUUGUUGACAGGAUAUAAAUAUUCCAUCAGUGUAUAAAAGGUUAAUCUGCUAUCUCUUUUUCUGUUCCUAGUAUUAAUAAGUGUGAAAAAAGAAAAGCUUUAUUUGAAUAUGCUCUCCACAGCCUUCCUUUUUUAGAAAGUUUAGGGUUUCGGUUUUUUGGCCGCAUGGCAGCCGCGCUUGGCCCUCCACCGUUGGGUGGAGGGCACUAGAAUUCUUCCUCCCCCACGUUUCGAAAGAAAGCCUUCUCUGAGUUGUUUGAGCAAGGGUCGCCGGCGGAGAUUGCGAAAGUUCAGGCGUCACUUUCUACACAUCGUGGAGAGCCGGCUGUCGUCUUCAAGGCAGAUGACAUAGCAGCAGUGGCGAAUCCUUUUCGUUAUACUUUGGUUGGGAAGUUCUCCAAAGGUCGCCCCUUGCUGCCAGAUUUGCGAAAAUUUUUUUCCACGCUGGAUUUGAAGGACAUGAUUUCUGUUGGACUCCUGGAUGCCAGGCAUGUAUUGCUGAGAUUCCAUGGUGAAGCAGAUUUUCUUCGGGUCUGGUCUAGGAGCCUGUGGUAUGUGUAUGGCCGCCCCAUGAGGGUGUUCAAAUGGACGUCUAAAUUUCAUGUGGAUAGAGAAUCAUCUCUUGUGCCUGUAUGGUUUCGCUUGCCCAAGCUACUGAUUCAUUUAUUUGCUAAACCUUGUCUGUUUCACAUUGUUUCUUGCUUGGGUAAUCCCCUGUUUGUGGACAAGGCAACGUCUUCUUUCUCUCGACCAAACGUAGCGCGGGUUUGUGUUGAAGUAGAUCUUUUAAAAACUCUUCCAGCAAGGGUCUGGGUUGAUAUGGGAGAUGGGGAUGGUUUUUGGUAGGCUUUGAUCCCUGAGAGUCUUCCUAAGUAUUGCGGUCAUUGCUACCGCCACGGACACGACGGCGUGAAUUGCCAUAUCAAGCACCCUGAUCUGCGUAUGACCAAGGUUCAGCGGCAGGAGGUGGAUGCGAAGUCGUUGGCUGGACAGGGCUCUGAAGAGCGUGGGGCAUUGAUUGGGAUGUCUGUUGGGAUGGUUCAGGUUGGCGCAGCACAGGCCGUGGGGGAAGGGCAGCAGGAUGUGGGGGAGGAGCAGGUGGCUGUUGCUGAGGGGGAGCUUCUCCAAUCACAGCAGCAGCCUGCACGGGAUGUAGCGACGCUGGUAGAGGCUGGGAUUGUUUCUGCGGCUGAUGCAAUCAUUCACCAGUUGGCAGACCAGGUGGCCCACGAACAUGUGGAAGUGCGCAAGGAGGAUAUGCAGGCUGGGGGGUCGGUUUUGUUCGACGAGAAUGAUGCGGUGCUAGUAGAGAGUAUGACUACGGAUGCUGAUUCAGCUAUGGUAGGGGAGUUAGGGGCUGGGGAGGAGAUGGAUGUGAUUGGAACAGGUAGUAAGGUGUCGCGGGAGAGGUAUGGGGAUGAUGCAGAACGGGAAGGUAGGUUGGAGAUUGUCUUACCUCAGAUUGCAGCUGGCGUCGUGCGAGGGAGUGGCCACCAGGUCAGGUUACAGGGAGAGGUCGGUGCUGUGGGAAGAUCUUCCCCUGAUGCUGGUGAAGCACGAGCGGCUAUGUCUGAUGGAGAUCAGAGGCUGGAUUCGAGUAGUGAUGAGGAGACUCUAUCUCCAGUGGGCAAUUUGCCUCCAUGUCACCAGGUGUGUUUCCAGGAGGGGAACUUCGUGUCAGCGGCUGGAGCCCUCGAUAGUUCGGUGGUAGUUCACAAGCCCAAACAAAAAGGUAUUCGUGCGCUUUUUCCAUCUGACAGACAAUUGCGGUCUAAUUUGAUAAACUCACAGAAUUCCUCCCAUGCUCUUUUAAAUGAUUAAGGGUCUUUUUUUGAAUAUUCGGGGCAUCUCUAAAGCUCCAAAAUUGAGAAGGAUUAAACAGUUAAUUAAAAUACAUAAUCUUCAAUUCUUGGCCCUUUGUGAGCCUUGGUUGAAGGUCGACAAAGCUGAACGGUAUAGGUACAAAUUAAACUUUCAUGGCUUGGUGCAUAAUACGGAGGGUUCGGUGUGGGUUUUCUUUAAAGAACCUUUCUCAGGUUUGGUUAUUGGGGAGAGCUCCCAGCAUGUGUCUGUACGGUUGUCCCACGAGCACUUAACGGGCUCUCAACUGGUUGUAUCUAACGUGCGCAGGGUAUACAUAUCAAUUUAACCUCAUUCUAAUCAAGUUUUACAUUUAUAAAUUCCUAAACACCCCACACGCGAUUUAUCGCAAGUAUACGAAUCGUGAGCGAGUAUAGGGUAUUAAGGGUCGAUCCCACAAGAAAGAUUGCAAUUACCGGUACUACUAAAGCUUCUCUAUUAUUUAGACUAUCAAUGAAUUAUAACAAAUUUUACCUACUCAAAUUAUACAAAAUAACAAACAAAAGCUCCUUAGGUUGUGGUAUCCCUAACUACUCAUGCAAGUGCUAUAUUUAGAUCAUUGAGUACUACAUCUAAGCUAGUUAUAGUGUAAUUUCCUUAAACAUGUGAAACCUACUUUCGUAGUGAAUCAACUAUACUCAUAACUAAUCCAUACCUAUUUUCAUGGUUAUGAAAUUAGCUACAAGUUCAUUUCUUCAAUGAAUUUACAUGAAAUGAAUCACUAAAAACCACAUAAGCGCACCUCUACUUUCGUGAGUGUACUCCCUAUGUUUAGCACCUCUUGAACUAGUGUUAAAUCUCAAUUUUCAUUGCAGAAACAACACCUUAGAUAAUCACAAUCAAUGGUACCAGAUUAAUCAUGAUUUAAGAAGCCAAAGUGCUAAAUAACUUGCUCAAAUCAUAGCAGUCAAAUAACCAAAUAAUAAACACUAACAAUCAUAGAAAGUUCAACCAAACCCAAGGCUUAAACUUUAAAAACACAUAUUACACACAAAAUCCAGAACUUGUAUAUUAACUAAACUUGGAAUCAAAUACAAAAGAUAAAGAGUUUGGAAGGAAUACAACCCUUGUCACAUGAGCUUUCUUCCUUGCCUUCUUCAUCCUCCAUCUUCAUCCUAAUCUAGAUAAUAAACAAGAAUGGAUGAACUAUACUACUCUAUACUAAGCUAAACUAAUACUAGGAAGAUGAAAGAGCUACAUUUCUGCAGACUCCAAGCUUCUCCCGUAUGUCUCUCUAUCUCUUACUCUAUCAUCCCCUUUUUCUUUUGCAAUGAAUUUGGCUAUUUAAUGAUGAAAGGUGGUCAAGAAAUGAAGCUUUACACUUUCUCCUUACAGCUGGUAAUGUCUCUCACAUGUCUAGCAUCACAUGUGAGUUGGUGGAGGUGAAAUUGAGUUUUACGCGUAUAAAGCAGCCUUUUCUGACCAGUGAUCCGAGCUGCUACAGUGCCUCGGAUCCGUAUGGAUCCGAGCUCGGAUCCACUAACCCAGAAACAGCCGAGGGUUCGGAUGAAUAGUGGAUCCGAGUGUGGAUCACUUGCUCUGUUUUUGGCCCAACUUCAACCGAUCGUUUCUUGAUGUUAGAGGCUGAACCAGCUCAUGCCUAAAACACGAAAGUUGUAGCCUUUUGAUUUAUCUUUCCAAUGCAUCAAGAAUCACCUCAUUUGGAUCUGUGUAGGCUGAGAUAUGACUGAAAUACCCUUGCCUGCUCCAUGCCUUGUUCCAGUUUCGACCAAUAGCAAUUGACUUUGUACUUCGGCUUUUUGACCUGGAAAACCUUCAAACUGGAUUCGGAUGUCUUCACCAAAGUUGUAGAUCUAUCUCUUAUCUUCAAAUGGGUUCAAGAAUCAUCCCAAUCCGAUCAUUGUAGCUCAAGUUAUAGCCGAAAUACGAAAAUAUGUCAAAACUGUCAAAAUACACAAAAUCCAAGUAAAAAGUGAUAAAAACCUCAUUUAAUCACUUAAAAGCAUUUUUCACCAAUUAUAACCAAAAUGAUUCAUAUUCUUCCAAUAAUAUAACCAAAGUGACUAAAAAUAAUAUAAAAUGUCAUACAAUUAUUACGUAAAUUAGUCACUUAUCAAACUCCCCCACACUUAAAUCAUUGCUUGUCCUCAAGCAAUUCACACAUAAUCAAAUGCAAUGAUUCAAGAGGUGAAAUAAUAUAUGCACUUUGUCCAAUUUAAUUCCUCAAGACUUGGAAAAUAAUCAUUAUACAAUUAUUCAAUUUACACUAAAUACUCAUAAUAUCAAGUAAAGGAAAGAUAAUUAUACCCUAAAUUCAACAAGUUAAACUUAAUCUCUUACCCUAACUUAAUUUUACAAAUAAGCAAAUCACAUAGUCAAUUUAUAGCUUUCCUCCUCCUAUAAUCAUCUUUUUCUCAAAAUUCUAUAACUAAGAGGGAUUUAUUCACACAAAUUUUACUUAAAUAGUGAGAAUGCCUUUUUACGCGAAAAUCGACACUUUUAGGUGAAGAUCUCCGGUUACUCAACAUUUCACUUAUUCAAGUUGCUAUGCAUACUCUUAAUUCAAGUACCUUUUUACGCGAAUGUCGACAUUUGUUGAUGCCAACCCCCGGUUACUCGGUACAUGAAUCAUUGGAGUAGAACAAUUUUUAUUUACUUUCUUUUUUUUUCUUUUUUUUUACUUUUUUUUUCUUUUUCAGAAAUAAAGGACAAUAAAUAGAUAACCCCUCUUAGAAAAUAUAUAAGAAUAAUCAAAGGAGGAAUAUAACCUUUAUCGACUAUAUCAAUCACUUACUUGCAAAAUUAAGUAAAGAGAAGAAAUCUCAUUAAACAUGUAAAAUUAUAGGCAUAAUUUUCCUCACUUUACCAAAUAUACUUUCUAAAAUGUAAAUAUUCUAAUUGCAUAAUAUUAUUUCCAAGUUAAAUGAGGACUAAACCUUCCAAAAUACAUAUAACAUUUCAACAAUUGGAAGAAUAAGGUUGGAUCAAUUAGCCCUUUUUGAAUGAAAAUGCAAAAUUUGAAGAACUUUUGGGCCAUAGUGAAAUAUUGGAAAAGAUUUUAGAAAAAAUUUCACAGAGUUUCUCCUUAUAAAUGGAUGAAAACUCCCUGCCAACAAACCCAAUUUCAAGCAAAUUAUCCACAUGGCAAACAUUUCAAACACAAUUCCAACAUUUCUAAGCAUUUAAAUCCACAAAAUAUCAUCACAUAGGCUUAAAAUGCAAGUUCAAAUAUUUUCCUCCCCCACACUUAAACUUCACAUUGUCCUCAAUGUGAGAAAAGGAAAAUAAAUAAAGAGUAAAAGAAAAUACUGCUCAAUUGAACUUGCGCAAUCCGAAUCCAUGUCCAAGUGAUGAAUUUCCAACUGUAUUUAAGAAAGAGUGGAGAGUUCACUUAUUGCACCCUGAAAAAGACAAAAUAAAAACAAAUAAAUUUCUUAAAAAUAAAAGGUUGCAAUCAACAAAAUCAUUCAAUUUAAGGAAAAAGGAAAAAUGAUCAAGCAUGUGGAACCAUACAAUGUUCAAGGGAUAAAAACAUGAAAUGAGCUAAUCUUUGCUAAUCAAAUAUAUGCAUUAGUAUCCAAAGCAAAGGGAAGCUAAUUUCACACAAAAAAUCCACAAUCAUGAACAAAAUAAGUUCCAUUUAUACAUUUUGUCAUCAAUGAUCAAAUCCCCGCAAGUACAAAAGCAAUCUCAAAAUGGAGGCGAACACACCAAGCCAAAAUAUAAAUGACCUUCUUGAGAAUUCAUGAAAUACUAGAAACCAUUGAACCACAAGGAUUAUAAGCGCAUUUAUGAAUUUCAUCAAUUAAGGUCAUCUUCAAUUCACCUUUUCUUUUAGAAUUACCUAAGAAUUCAAGAAAUUAUUCAACCAAGCCCCUUUUCAUUCAUUAGGUAAUCUAAAUUACUCACAUGAAUAUCAUAAACUCCCACAAAGCUAAUUAAAAUGCUACAUUGGCCACUUAAUAUGCAACUUUGUCACCAAGCCAAAUUAGGCAUAAAUUUAGCAAAAAUUCACCAAAUAAUUACAAACUCAUGAGUUAAACAUCACCAAUCAUCAUCAAUAAGUUCAAUAAGCACAAUGUAAAGCACCCAAACUUCACAAAAUGAAAAAAAUUCGAAAUUGCCCCAAAAAUAAAAAAAAAAUAAAAAUAAAAAUUGGCAAAAUUCAAAUGACAACAUUUGGUGAAGAUUUGUUACCUCAAACUUGUUGGUUGAUGAUUAUGGAUGCAAAUGGUGAAGAAACCCCCAAAAAUUUCACUCCAAUUCGGCCUCAAAUGGAUAGUUCAAAAAUUUGAAACCCUUGUUCUUGCUAAGCUCAAAUCCGAAUUUAGACUUGUUUUUGAAGAAUUUUUAGCUAUGAAAUCAUCUCUCAAGUGAAAAAGGAGUGUUUUGGUAUACUUGGUUUGAAGAUUGGAUGGUGAAAAGAGUGAGUUUAGUGAGUAGUGUGUGUUUUAGGUGUGAGUGCGUGUGUAAGUUGAAGAAGAGAGGAAAAAAAAAUUUCUGAUUGCAGAAGUGGAUCCGAGGCCUCGGAUCCAUAUGGAUCCAAGCUCGGAUCCGUGGCACGAAGUUUUCUCUGAUUGCAGAAGUGGAUCCGAGGCCUUGGAUCCAUAUGGAUCCGAGCUCGGAUCCGUGGAUUCUGCAUUUAUUGCAGAAAUUUCUGCAAUUUUAGUUUGGCCCCAACUUGAAACACACUCUCUAAUUCGUGCUCUACAAUGAAAUUUUGAACAAUUCAACACUUUACACACAUGGAAAGUAACUUAAACAUGAAUCUCAACACCUCAAAUCAAAUCAAAAACAUGUAGAAUCCAAAUUGAGGGUUGAAGUUCUUGGAUCGAAUAGUCCCCUCGACACUUCCAAAGCACAUGAUGGUGCUCAAAUGGUUCAAAAGAGUGCAAAUAGGUCAUGAACACAUUUAAACACUUGAAUGCACUUCAACUUCAUUCAAAUGACUAACUUAACCUCAUAACAUAAAAUUAAGCAUUCUAAAACUCAAAAAAUAAAGGUUAAGCUUCCCUUUUUCGCAUUAGUCUCCACUCCUUAUAAACUCCUUUGCACUUGAAAUAAUUCGCAUGAUUCCUUGUCAUUGCUACCUACAAAACACACAAAAACAUUAAUCAAACAACCAAAACCUACUAAAAACAAGAAAUCGUUGGGUUGCCUCCCAACAAGCGCUUCUUUAUAGUCAUUAGCUUGACUAUAUCACCUCAUUUUUCAAGGAGGUUUAGUUAACGAAUAAUCCACCAUUUUAGGCCGUGGUGGAUCAUUAAAAGGUGGCUUUAUCGCGAAAGCCACAUAAUCUAAUGAUGUGAGAAAUGAAAGUGACUUACCUAUACCAAGUGUUUCAUAGAUAUUACCUUGAAUAUGAACCACUUGAGAACUUACCAAAUGAAAUGCCAUGAAAGUAUCUUGGGCAGGAAUAUCUUUAAAACCUGUACUUUUUAUACACUCCUCAAGAGGGGUGAAAAUUGAGCCACUAAAACUCUCUUCUUGAGGCUCAAAGUUAGUUCCAAAGAUAUUAUCAUGUGAAAUGGAUAUUUGCUCAUUAAAACACUCUUGAGAUUCAUCAUUUUCAUCAAAAUGCAACCCAUUUUCACAUACAACAUUCCCACCAUUCAUGCUAGGAUCAUUUUGCACAUUAUUAGAGGAAAUAACUUCACACAAUGCAUUCAAUUGCUCAUGUAUUCUACCAACGUGAGAAGCUAAUUCAUCUAUUCUUUCCUCAAUCCUAUCAAAACGAUCGAAAGUUGCAUUUGCUAGCUUUUCUAAUGCUAAAUCAAAUUGAUUAGAAAAAUUUUCUACAGCUAGCUCCCAAGAUGCAUUAGAAUCAUUAGCUAAUGGUUCACUUUCUAACUCCCAAGGCAGAGGUGCAUUAGCUAACUUCUCUAUUGCCAACUCCCAAGAUGGUUUUGAUUCAUAUUGGACACUUCCAGGUUGGUAAUCAUAAAAACAUGAAUAAUCACUAUAAGUACAUUGAUCAUCCCAACCAUAAGCAGGAGAAUUGCUCCAAUUAGCACUAUAUUGAUCAAAACAAGGAUUGUAAUGCUCUAAUUCAUCAUAAUAAUCCACAUUUUGUGCUUGCAUACAUGUAUUAGUAGCAUGAUAACUUCCACACAAGUCACAAAUCACAUGAUAAGAAUUAAAAAUAUUAGCAUUCCUCCCUUGCUCAAUUUCAUGCAUAAUUGCGUCCAUUUGAACUUGCAACAUCAUAACAUCAAAUUUAGCCUUUAAGCACCUUAAACCAUCUUCAAAAGACAUACAUUCAGUAAAUUCUUGGUUACCUCUAUUGAAGGAGCUUUGCACUUGGUAACCAUCCAUUGUCAAACCUCCAUUUCUCAAGCAUUGUCCUCCCCUGUUUUCUACUCUCCUUGAUCCCCUAAACAUGCUCUCAAAGUAGCUCAAAAACAAGUUUAGUCAAGAAGAAUAGAUGACUUUAAACAUACAAAAACAAGACAUUAAACAUAAAAGACUCAACAAGACUCAAAACAAACAAGACACUUAACCAACAAAAACAAGUGAAAUUGUCUAAAUUAAUAAAGUUGCUUUUCACACCGAUAUUGCCAAAUCUUCCCCGGCAACGGCGCCAAAAACUUGACGUGCGCAGGGUAUACAUAUCAAUUUAACCUCAUUCUAAUCAAGUUUUACAUUUAUAAAUUCCUAAACACCCCACACGCGAUUUAUCGCAAGUAUACGAAUCGUGAGCGAGUAUAGGGUAUUAAGGGUCGAUCCCACAAGGAAGAUUGCAAUUACCGGUACUACUAAAGCUUCUCUAUUAUUUAGACUAUCAAUGAAUUAUAACAAAUUUUACCUACUCAAAUUAUACAAAAUAACAAAUAAAAGCUCCUUAGGUUGUGGUAUCCCUAACUACUCAUGCAAGUGCUAUAUUUGGAUCAUUGAGUACUACAUCUAGGCUAGUUAUAGUGUAAUUUCCUUAAACAUGUGAAACCUACUUUCGUAGUGAAUCAACUAUACUCAUAACUAAUCCAUACCUAUUUUCAUGGUUAUGAAAUUAGCUACAAGUUCAUUUCUUCAAUGAAAUUACAUGAAAUGAAUCACUAAAAACCACAUAAGUGCACCUCUACUUUCGUGAGUGUACUCCCUAUGUUUAGCACCUCUUGAACUAGUGUUAAAUCUCAAUUUUCAUUGCAGAAACAACACCUUAGAUAAUCACAAUCAAUGGUACCAGAUUAAUCAUGAUUUAAGAAGCCAAAGUGCUAAAUAACUUGCUCAAAUCAUAGCAGUCAAAUAACCAAAUAAUAAACACUAACAAUCAUAGAAAGUUCAACCAAACCCAAGGCUUAAACUUUAAAAACACAUAUUACACACAAAAUCCAGAACUUGUAUAUUAACUAAACUUGGAAUCAAAUACAAAAGAUAAAGAGUUUGGAAGGAAUACAACCCUUGUCACAUGAGCUUUCUUCCUUGCCUUCUUCAUCCUCCAUCUUCAUCCUAAUCUAGAUAAUAAACAAGAAUGGUUGAACUAUACUACUCUAUACUAAGCUAAACUAAUACUAGGAAGAUGAAAGAGCUACAUUUCUGCAGACUCCAAGCUUCUCCCGUAUGUCUCUCUUGCUCUCUUCUUGGAUCCUCUCUCUUGCAAUGAAUUUGGCUAUUUAAUGAUGAAAGGUGGUCAAGAAAUGAAGCUUUACACUUUCUCCUUACAGCUGGUAAUGUCUCUCACAUGUCUAGCAUCACAUGUGAGUUGGUGGAGGUGAAAUUGAGUUUUACGCGUAUAAAGUAGCCUUUUCUGACCAGUGAUCCGAGCUGCUACAGUGCCUCGGAUCCGUAUGGAUCCGAGCUCCGAUCCACUAACCCAGAAACAGCCGAGGGUUCGGAUGAAUAGUGGAUCCGAGUGUGGAUCACUUGCUCUGUUUUUGGCCCAACUUCAACCGAUCGUUUCUUGAUGUUAGAGGCUGAACCAGCUCAUGCCUAAAACACGAAAGUUGUAGCCUUUUGAUUUAUCUUUCCAAUGCAUCAAGAAUCACCUCAUUUGGAUCUGUGUAGGCUGAGAUAUGACUGAAAUACCCUUGCCUGCUCCAUGCCUUGUUCCAGUUUCGACCAAUAGCAAUUGACUUUGUACUUCGGCUUUUUGACCUGGAAAACCUUCAAACUGGAUUCGGAUGUCUUCACCAAAAUUGUAGAUCUAUCUCUUAUCUUCAAAUGGGUUCAAGAAUCAUCCCAAUCCGAUCAUUGUAGCUCAAGUUAUAGCCGAAAUACGAAAAUGUGUCAAAACUGUCAAAAUACACAAAAUCCAAGUAAAAAGUGAUAAAAACCUCAUUUAAUCACUUAAAAGCAUUUUUCACCAAUUAUAACCAAAAUGAUUCAUAUUCUUCCAAUAAUAUAACCAAAGUGACUAAAAAUAAUAUAAAAUGUCAUACAAUUAUUACGUAAAUUAGUCACUUAUCAGUAUCCUUUGUGUAUGCUCGGUGCACGUCUGAGGAGAGGUGUGAGCUCUGGGAUGGUUUAUUGCGGGAUAACCCAGGUUUUGCGGCAUGGGUUGUUGGGGGGAAUUUUAAUGUAAUUCUAGAGGCUGAGGAGAAGAAAGGGGGUCGGGCUUUUGACCCUUUUGAAGCUAUGAAGUUCAAGGAUUUUAUCACUGAGGCUAAUCUCACAGAUAUUGGUUUUUCUGGCGCUCGCUUUACCUGGUGUAACAAUAGGUAGGGCAGGGCAAGAAUUUGGAAGAGAUUGGAUCGGGUUUUGGUGAAUGAGGGAUGUCUGGACUUGGGUUUGGAUUUGGCGGUAUCUCAUCUAGCCAGGGAAUCAUCUGAUCAUGCUCCGCUCCUGAUGUCCGUUUCCACCAGAUUGGAUAAUAAACCGCGUCCGUUUAAGUUUCUUAAUUUUUGGACGGGGCGUGAGGAUUUCUUGCCUAUGGUUUGGGAUUCCUGGGGGCAGCCAUGUCCUGGCUCUCCUCUGCAUGUUCUUUGUUGUAAAUUGAAGCGUCUCAGGAGCGCUAUCCAAGCAUGGAAUAGGGAGGCCUUCGGGGAUAUAUUUCAGACAGUUAGGUAGCAGGAAGAGGAGGUGAGGCUUGCGGAGUUGCGAGUGGAAAGUGAUGAGUCGGUGGACGCUAGGGUGAAUCUACCUAGCUCAAGGUCGUUUGCGGGCUGCCUUGAGAAUGGAGGAGAUGUUUUGGGAACAGAAGGCGCGGGUGAGAUGGUUGAAAGAGGGAGAUCGUAAUACAAAGUUUUUUCAUUCUGUGGUCAAACACAGAACGGCACGGUCGAUCAUUCACAGGAUUAGGAAUGGUAGAGGGGGUAGGCUGAGUCAGAGGAGGAGAUAGGUGCUGAGGCAGUGUGGUAUUUUGAGGAUUUGUUUACGGCUCAACAUGUGGCUUCUUCUUCUACUUUGCUUAAUCAUAUCCCAAAAAUUUUGACAGCUGAGGAGAAUGAUUUGUUGGAGCAGAUUCCCUCUGAGGAGGAGAUUCGUAGUAUGGUAUUUGCGAUGGAUGAGAAUAGUGCUCCGGGCCCGGAUGGAUAUACGGGUAAAUUUUUCACGGCUGCUUGGUCGGUUGUCGGUGAGGAUGUGGUUAGAGCAGUGGGUAGCUUCUUCUGUGGGGCUGAGCUGCCGCGUGCAAUUACAGCGACCUCCAUUGUGCUUAUUCCUAAGAUUGCGCAUCCCCAGGACUUUUCGCAUUUUCGUCCGAUUAGUUUGUGUAACUUUGUUAACAAGCUAAUUUCACGAAUUUUGGAGGAUCGAUUGGCUCAAGUACUUCCUAAGAUCAUUUCCUCGCAGCAGAGUGGUUUUGUUCGGGGGCGGAUCAUAUCAGAUAAUUUCUUGCUUGCGCAGGAGUUGCUAUCUAGUAUGGGUAGAACCUCUAGAAAUGCUGAUGUUGCUCUUAAGCUAGAUAUGUCGAAGGCUUACGAUCGUGUUUCUUGGGUGUUUUUGACUAUGGUCUUGCGUAGAUUUGGGUUUGGAGAGCAAUGGAUUGACAGGGUUUGGAGAUUGGUGUUGAAUAUCUGGUUUUCAGUUUUGGUUAAUGGAGUGAGUGUGGGGUUUUUUAAAUCUACGCGAGGGAUUUGGCAAGGCGAUCCAUUGUCCCCAGGUCUAUUUAUCAUUGGUGCGGAGGUGAUGUCUCGCUCUCUAAAUAAGUUGUUGGAGAAUCGGGAGUUCAAGUGCUUUUCAGUUCCUAGAGGAUGCCCUAAGAUCACUCAUCUUAGCUAUGUUGACGAUGUCCUGGUUUUUUCUGGUUCUUGCUCCUCUUCAUUGAGGUGUGUCAUGCAGACGAUUGGUGGGUAUGAAGCAAUAUCGGGGCUGAAGAUUAAUGUUCAGAAGUGUGGUUUCUUGGCUCAUGAUAAGUUGCCUAGCUAUUGUAUGGCGAGGGUUCGGCGGGCAACGGGUUUUGGCCAUAAAUCUUUUCCUGUGCGGUACUUGGGUUGCCCGCUUUUCACAGGGCGUCGGAAGAGUGUGUAUUUCAUGGAGAUGGUGCAGUCAGUCAUUAAUAAAAUUUCUUCAUGGAGAUCCAGAUUUCUAUCCAGUGGGGGGCGUCUCAUACUCAUAAGGCAUGUUCUCUCUGCGAUUCCGACUCACUUGCUUGCGGCAUCUUGUCCCCCAAGAGGAGUCCUUGCCUUGGCUGAACGGGCCAUGGCCAAUUUUCUUUGGGAGGAGCAGGAGAGGGGAUUCCGGCAUCACUGGAUCAGAUGGGAAGAUUUGUGUGCCGGCUUGGCUCAGGGGGGGAUAGGUAUUCGUUCGUUACUGGAGGUCCAGUCAGCGUUCUCACUCAAACUACGGUGGCGGUUCCGUACAAGUGAUUGUUUAUGGUCGACUUUUAUGCGGGCAAAAUAUUGUCGGCGGAGUCAUCCAUGCAUGGUGGGGGCGGUGCAGGGUAGCUCCUAUGUGUGGCGCCGCAUGCUUCAAAUACGUGAGGUGGCGGAGCAAAAUCUUUGGUGGCUGGUCCGGUCUGGUCAGUGUAACUUUUGGUUUGAUAAUUGGCUGGGAUCUGGUCCUCUAUGUCAGCGACUACCAAGUGUCUCUGACCAUCUGGUAGGUGAUUUCGUGUUGAAUGGACGGUGGAAUCAACAGUUGUUGCGGCGCUGGGUCCCGGAUGAUAUAGUGUCAGAGAUUAUUACCAAAUCUCCCCCAGUGGGGGUCGCAGAUGAUUGUGCGGUGUGGGCUUUGACGGAGUCAGGGGAUUUCUCGAUUGCUUCCUCCUAUGUGCUCCUGGGCAGGCAGAGUCCUUCCUCAUUCAUGUUUAGCAGCGUAUGGCAUUCUUUGAUACCAAUAAAGGUAUCUUUUUUCAUGGUACGGUUGUUGCGGGAUAGAUUGCCUUUGGCGUCUGCGCUAGGACGAUUGCAUGUGUAUGGCCCUUCCAAGUGUUUUUGUUGUUCGGCCCCGCAAUCCGAAUCUUUGGACCAUAUAUUUGGGGAAAGGGAUGUAGCUCAGUUUUUGUGGACAUUUUUUGGGAACGGUGCGGGCGUGACGUACCGAGGGAGUGGGGCGCGGUCACGUCUGGCUGGCUGGUGGUGUCAACCGAAAUGUAGCUCGCGUUUGGCAUCACUUCACAUACUGGUGCCUAGUAUAAUCUGCUGGCAUAUUUGGUUAGCACGAAAUCUUGCGAUUUUUGAAGGGAAGUGCCUGCGUAGGGAGGCCAUGUGUGAGCGCAUCUUCGCGGAUAUUGUGGGGCUUUUUUGCGGGAAGUAUGCAGGGAAGGCUGUGGGACAUGGGUCUUGGAUGGCAUUUUAUUCCAAUAUCUGUGGAUGGAGGCCUCGUUAUUGUCAUAGUCUGGUUCAAUGGGUGCUUCCAACCCAGGGGACUUUCAAGCUAAAUACGGAUGGAUGUUCGUUGGGCAACCCGGGCGUCAGUGAUGGGGGUGGUGUGCUCCGGGAUUCAUCUGGUGUAGUGGUGUUUGGGUUUUCGACUCCGCUUGGGGAGCUGACAUGCAUUCAGGCGGAGAUUAGGUCCUUGUUGGUUGGAGUGCAGCAAUGUUUCCUUAGGGGAUUCUUGCGGAUUCAGGUGGAGGUGGAUUCUCUUGUGUUAGUCAACAUACUGCUCAAGAAAUCAAGGUGUCCGUGGAUAAUUUAGCCGGCGGUAGCUGCCUUAGAGGUGACUCAGGGUGUGGAAUGGUCUGUUAGGCAUUGUUAUCGUGAGGCGAAUCGGGUGGCGGAUGCAUUGGCCAAGGUGGGGGCACGGUCAGAGGAUUUUGUCUUGUAUUCUUCACAAAAAGACUUACCCAGAUUGGCAAGGGGGGCCUUGGGCUUAGAUAGGUCUCAGACUCCCGCUAUUCGUGUUAGAGUUGCUCGCGUGUGAACUCUUUGUAAUUUUGAUGGUUUUUCACAAUAAUAUUUUGGGGGUGGCGUCCCUCCCCGCAUAGGGGUUAGGCCAUUUUAAAAAAAAGUAUAAAAGGUUAAUCCGAUAGUUUUAUCGUUUCCUUGCUAGACUGUUUGACGAGAGAAAUUAACAGUAUAAUCCACGAAACAGAAAAGCUAGCACUUAUAUACAUAAAAAAAUGAAACAGUAGAAGUUGUUUUGUUAGGGAGGGGUGUUCUUUGGGAGGGGGGAGCGGGGAAGUGUUUAAGAAAGUUAGGAAAAAAAAGGGAAAAGAGUAAAAAAAUCUAAUAAAUAAGCAUAAAUUGGAAGAAAGUAAAGGUCAGUUUCUGUUUUAACAAGAACAAUUAAAAUUUUGUUCACGCCCUUUAACGCCACUGAAGGAAGUAAGACAAAAGCAGCUUUGGUAACAGAAAAAAAAAGGGCUAAAUGGAUGAAAUUCAAAGAUUGGAGAUUAAAGAUACUUUAGAUUUAAAAAAAAAGUUAAACUACUAAAUGAACUACUUGCAAAACUUUUUUUUCCCUUCCAAAUUAAUUGAUUUGUCAUUCAUGGUAUUGAAAUUGUUAAAAAUUAAAAAUAUAGUGAAUAACUAUAUUUUUCAAUUGGUUUUGUGAUUUUCUAUCAAGCAUUUUUAUAUUAAAGAAUCUUUUUUACAUUAAUAAUGGAUACUAUCAGGAUUGGAUGCAUGAUAACAAAUAAGAAUUUGAAUUUAAAACUACGUUUUGCAUAUGCAACAAGCAUUAAACUCCGCUAGCUUAUACACUAUCACUGUAUAAAUGAUUAAUUUUAAUUAAUUUAAAUUACAAAUGAGAAUGUUGAAUUCGUGUGAUAACGUGAAUCAUCAAAGGAAUUUUACAACCAGCUGCUAAGGAAUGAACAUUUCCAUUAGUUGAAUGCAGGAAGCGUCUCCAAGGAGAUUUUUUUCACAAAAAUAUCUUGAUUUUCCAUGGCACAUCGGGCCUUCCAUUGGCCAAUGGACUUGCAGUCGCUGGGCACAACAGAUGGUCAAGUUUUCAACGCAAAUUAAUCAUGUUGGUUUCCUAGUCUUCUUGUUUAAAUUUCACUUCAUCAAAAUCUAGAUCGGUAGAUUGAAUGACCAGACUCUUUAAGAUAUUAUCAGCUCAAGUCAAGACAUUAUUAGCUUGCCUUCCAGUAAUCCUCUUAUCAAUUUUUCUCCUACGCAUAAUAUAUUUUGCUACAUGUUCGAUAACAAAUCGGAAACUAAUAUGCCAAUGCAAACAUAAACCAGAAUUAACUUGUAAAUAAAAGCUACUCAUCUCAAAUUUUUAAUUUCAUAAUCUAUCUUUCCAGUUCUUAUCACUCAUUUGUGAUUAUAUUUCCAAUUCAAUCUUUUUUGGAUCGUUUAUGGCUCCCAAUCAAAUAAUGCCUCACCAACUCCAUGAUCCACACCCAUUAAAAGAGUUGACGACAAGAAAAGUAAAAGAAUAUCAUUAUUUAGCCUCUUGAGGUUGUUUAAUCAUAAGAAAAGUAAAAGGUUCUUUUGCAUCUUAAGUAGAUUGCUUUUACUAUAUUGUAGUUAGUUAAGUACUUGAUCGUUUACUGGCUCAACUUUUCCACGAAGACUUCCAGUCGUCUGGGUUUUGUCACCUUCAUACAUAGUUUCUUCCAACGCAGAAUGGUGAAAGCGAUGCUUUUAAACUUGUAUAAAUGAAACCGCUUAUCUGAGCAUACUUUAUCAUAUAGUUCAAUAUCAAAAGAAAUCCAAUGGAGCAUCAUCUUCUUGGCACUUCUUCAUCUUUACUACUAGUAAUGUUCUUAUUCAAUUCUAUUCUCGUCAGCAGCCAUUUUCCGUUUGGCUGCAGCAAACAAGCUUAUACUCAUUCAAAUGUCUCCUGUAUCAAGAGUGAACGACAAGCUCGUCUUCAAUUCAGAGAUGGAUUGGUAGAUGAAUCGAACCGCCUAUCAUCUUGGAUUGGAGAGGACUGUUGUUCAUGGGAAGCCAUUGGUUGCCACAAAAUCACUGGCCAAGUGGUGAAACUUGAGCUACAAAAUACGAAGGCAUUAUAUUCAACUGAUGUAGUAUUUACUUGCUGCAAAAAUUGCUUGGGAGGCCAAUUAAGUCCAUUUUUGGUCAAUUUGACCAAUUUGCGAUACCUGGACCUGAGCAAGAAUAAUUUUUCAUGAAUCCAAGUUCCCACAUUCCUUUGAUUGUUGAAAAACCUGAGAUACUUAAAUCUCGCAAAUGCAGUGUUUGAUGGUGAAAUUCCCGGCCAUCUAGGAAAUCUCUCCUGUUUACAGCAUUUACAACUUGGAGGUGUAUCCUUAACACCAAAUCAAUUGACGACGAAUGAUCUCAGGUGGAUUGUUGGACUCUUUUCUCUAGAAGGCCUAGUUCUGUUCGGGGUGAAUCUCAGUGCCGUUGAAGAUGGGUUAAAAGCAAUUAACAUGCUUCCUUCACUAACAAGGCUCAAAUUAUCUGGUUUUGAACUUUUCAUCGAUCCUUACCUUUCACAGGUCAAUUUCACAUCUCUUUCUUCCAUUAAACUCGGUGAAAAUAGUUUCAACAACUACAUGGUCCCUCCUUGGCUCCAUAAUCUUACUGGUGUCCAUGAUCUUGAUCUUAGCUCUAAUAAUCUUUCUAGUCCAAUUCAUGGCCUUUUUGAACAAAUGACCUCUCUAGUUGAUCUUGAUCUAGCAGUAAACCGCUUUGAUGCAUCAACGUUGGAGCCACUUUGCAAUGUAAGCAGUCUUAAUUAUUUGGAUCCGAGUUUAAAUGAUAUGCAAGGGUCAAUACCAAGUGAAAUAGGCCAACUUUCGAAGCUGCAAGAAUUGUAUAUUUCUUCCAACUCAUUAACUGGUGUAUUAUCUGAAGACCAUUUUGCAAAACUCGGAGAGCUAAAGUUAUUGGACCUAUCUGGAAACUUAUUUGCUUUGACUGUGAGCUCCUGGUGGGUUCCUCCUUUUCAACUCCGAGAAAUUAUGAUGUCAUCCAUCAAAGUAGGCCCCCUAUUUCCUGCGUGGCUGCGAACGUAAAAGGAGGUUCAAUGGUUAGAGAUGAAGAAUGCGAGUAUUUUGGAUAGCAUGCCCAGCUGGUUUGGAGUGCUUUGUUAUGAUAUUGGAUUAGUAGAUUUUUCGGACAACAACCUGACUUGGAAUCCGUUGGAGUUCAAACAAAUGAAGAAGAGUCCUCCUGAUGGUAAUUCGCCAAGCAUAGCUCUAAAGUCCAACAAAUUGGAUGGAUCUCUCAAAUCGUUUCCGUCUUAUAUUUACGAAUUAGAUCUUUCACAAAAUUUUCUUACUGGACAUAUUCCAUUGCCUGAUGUUGGUCAAACUGUUGCAUCUACUCGUUUUCUCACACUCAGUGAUAAUCAUUUCACAAGUAGUAUCCCGGAAGACUUGUGCAAGUUGGAAAAUUUAGAACAUCUGGAUCUAUCCAACAAUUUCCUGUCCGGAAGAGUUCCUCUGUGUUUGGGAAAUUUGCCAGACUUGUGGGUCCUAAACUUGGCUAAUAACAGUCUAUGCGGUCAAAUUCCAAGUUCACAGGGCAACUUGGGGCAACUUUGGAUUCUGCAUUUGAGUCGAAAUAAAUUCGUUGGGAAGCUCCCAUCCUCAAUGCGGAGCCUGAGAAAUUUACAAAUUCUUGAUCUCGGUGACAAUGGACUCACAGAUAUUAUACCAAUAUGGAUUGGGGAAAGGUUAUCAAAAUUAAAGUUUCUAAGAUUUCAGUCAAAUAACUUCCAUGGAGUCAUUUCUGAUGAGCUCUGCCUACUCUCAAGUCUUCAGGUGCUGAACCUAGCGCAUAAUAAUUUAACAGGAUCUAUUCCUCAUUCUUUUAUCAACUUCUCAAUGAUGGUAUCAAGUGAACCAGGAACUGAUCUCUGGGUAUUUAGCGAUUUCACCUGGCUUCAAAACUUCAAGGGAGGAGGAGAACUUGGGUACUCCUCUCGGAACCUUUUGCGCAUUAAAUCCAUAAGCCUCUCAACAAAUAAUUUAGUGGGUGAGAUCCCUGAUGGGAUAAUGGAUCUGGUUGAUUUGCUAACUUUGAACCUUUCACGUAAUCAUUUCACUGGAUAAUCCCCGAGAAGAUUGACAACUUGAAGCAACUUGAGUCACUUGAUCUAUCAAUGAAUGAACUCUUUGGUGCAAUCCCUGAAAGCUUAUCUGCUUUAAACUGGUUGAACUUCCUGAAUUUGUCACACAGUAAGCUAUCAGGGCCAAUACCAUCAGGGAAUCAAAUUCAGACCUUAACCGAUCCAUCUAUCUAUGAAGGAAACAGUGGACUCUGUGGCGAGCCACUCCCAAAUGACUGCCUGGAACAUAAAUUGCCUACGAAAAAUGGGCAUAUUCAUGAUGAUAUAGGCCAUGGCGAGUCUCAUUGGUCUUGGUUUUAUGCUGGUAUAGGACCGGAUUAUGCUGUCGGGCUAUUGGGAGUUUUGGGAAUCCUUCAGUUCAAGAAGUCAUGGCGCUAUGCAUACUUCAGGUUUCUGGAAAAUGCCUAUGACAAAAUCUGCGUAAUGAUUGCAUUGAAGGCCAAUCAGCUGAGGAGGAAUUUCCAUUGAGUAAUGCCCUGUAAAAGCACAUUUAUUUUGUUUUUCAUAUCACGCAGCAGCAGCAUACUCUCCUUGAGAAUUUACAGAACUAUGGUAAUUUGUAAUUUGUUCUCCAAACGUUUCUAAAGAUUUGUUUUAUGCGUCCCAACUUGACCGAUUCUUAUUCAAUAAGAAAAUGAUAGCUUAAUAGUUUUCUAUUCUUUUUUUUUUCCCCAAGACUAAGAAGCUCAAUAAGUUAUAAUUAUUUUUCUGUUCACAUUGGAAUGCAUUAAAUAUUCUAUAUCGAGCAAUUUAUAGGUUGUUUAUCUUGCUUACUGAUCGAAUUUUUGUGUCAACAGAUUUAAACACUUUAGAAGAAUUCUAUACUUGUUUAUGCUAAUAAUUGAUUUAGUUGUUUAAUUUCUAAUUGAUAUACAUUCUAGCUUUUCUGCCAACAACUCUUAUGAAUUACCAACUACUGAUUUUCAGGUAUUACAUUAAUUCUACCCACCUAAGUUUCACUCUCGAAACUUAAUUUGACCAGAUUAGCAUAAAAACAAACUGCACUUCCAAUUAUAUCACUUUACAUGAACAAAUAUUAAUUAAACUACUAGUAUUUAGGCCACACACCAAUGUGUGUACACCUAAUAAAAAACAUAUUAUUAAAAUUUUGAGUAAAUUUUUUGAAAUCAUUUCAAAGGAAUUGGUUUUACAUUUUGACAAUGGGUAUUGGAAAAUUCACGAAAAUAAGUGUACAAAUAGAUAGUUGUUUAGCAGUAAUCCAGAACCAUAAUCGAUAGUUGAUUACAUUGGGUAGCUAGCAAGGUAAGUUAAAAAAUAAUAUAAAAUGACAAAAUUUUAUUUAUACCAAAAGCCCUCUCCCCCUUUAUAUAUUUACAACAAAAGCUUUCUCCACCUUUACAUAGAGCAUGGAUAUUAUUUACUCAAGGACAAUUCAUGUCCCCCCCCUCCUUCCCCUCCUCGCCUUUUUGGUCAAUCGUUAACUCCUAUUACUACUCCUACUCUAACCAAUAUUAGGGAAUGAUCCAACUGGACCAAUGGGGCUGGACAAAGAAGAUCUCACCUGUAUAGCAAAGAGGUUCACUAGACCAAAGAAGGGUUGCUUCAUGUUCAAAUCUGCUAUGCUUUUUACGAGGCCAUAGAAAUUUCAAACACCUGAUGCCCAUUACGUUUCCCUUGCGUCAACAUUAAUCCAAACAUCAAGAAGUAAUUCCACUUAAUUAACCUUAUUUUCAUUUGAACUUUGGUUAUUUCUAAAGUGAUAAUCAUGUCUUACUAUUCAUUAAAGUAAUCUACUAUCAAUUAAAACUCCACUAGUAAAUUCCGUGCUCUCAUUUUCUGAUUCUCGGUUGCACCCCGAAUUUACUUCAUAGUAUAUGCCAUCACAGUGGAUCUAGAAAUAUUAUAACAUAACCGCCUAGAAAUUUCUUCAAGAUAUAACCCAUUUCAAUAACUUCACCUACUCAUGAUUUUCAAUCUAGAAUUACCUGUAAUUUUAAGAUUCAAAUCAAGUGAUCAUAAGCCAUGUGAGAAAAACUAAUGAACAUAAAUUAAAUUUCUAACUCAUUGAUCGCCAUAAAUGGUCCUAUUAGAAACUAAUUCUUGCAAUCAAUAAUUGGUAGACAUGAAAUAAAAAUGUGUCCUAGGCCUUCUGAUAUUCUAAACAAACAUGUAUGGGCAGAAGGGGUUUCAUGAACAUCCUCCCAAUGAGGAAUGUUAUAUGAACAGAUCCCAAUCACGAAUUAAAGAUUUGUGAAAAAAGUGAGAAACUCUAAAAAACUGGGCAAUUCCAAUAAAGUUUGGUAAAAUUUGAUAAGAGAAUGAGAUAUUACUUAGGCCCUGUUUGGCAAAUAAUUCCCAAUAAAUGUUUGAGUGAAACUUAGGCAUCGUUUGGCGAAUGAGUUUGGAAGUGUUAGAAUCGAGUCACAAUGAGGACCGGUCACUCAGCACAUGCUUUGUUGUUCCUCGAAAAUCGUUAUCCAUAUUAAAGUUCGAAAAACAAUUUAAUCAAAUCGAACGGAGUACCAUUCAUCCAUUUUUUUGGUCUUUACUUUAACAGCACAACUUAGGGACAUUGAGUUUCGGCAAAUUCUUUUGUCAAAAAUGGCCCAAGUAUGAUUUUUAUUUGAAAACUACAAUAUUGUUGGUCUCUUAGCUUUUUAAAUUGUCUAAAAUAAUGUCAUAUUUCUACUCUAGAAUAUUAAUUUAGUCUUUCAGUUGUCAACUGUUGCACUGAAUUUGCACUUAUGGAGGAGUGGCAGGGGAGAGAGGAGGGGAGGAGAGGGAAGGGGAAGGAGAGGCAGGUCAUCUUUAUCUUUAAAUAAUCUAAAGGAGCAGGUGAUCUUUAAAUAAUAAAAACUAAAGGGCAUCUACCCUUUACACAUGGUUUAGACAAAAUAAUAAUAAUUUAAGAAGGGAGAAAAAAUAUAAAAUUUAAGAAGAAGAGAAAAGGCACACGUGAGAUGCACAAGUUGGUCACAAGUUCGAUGAUGCUGUUGGACGUUCAAAAAGAAUUAAAGAUCAAGCGCAAACGUGUUAGUACUGUCUUAUGAAUUGGUUUAACAUUAAUUUGCCUGUAACCUCCUAUAUAACUCGCCAAACUAAGCAUAAAUGCAUGGGGCCCAAGCACUAAUUAAUUGAGCCAAGAUUAUUUUCCACUUUGUGUGACGACAAAGGACAUCUUGGUGUCGUCGGUUUUGCCAAUGUCUCGUCUGUAUCACCUGUUUACCUCCAUUCAUAUAUAGUUGCCAUUGUGUUCGUUCUAUGUAUCCUGUUGUUUGGUUUAAGAUUUCUCCACUCGAGGUGGGAUUUGGGAUCUUUUUGUUUGGAAGGAAAAUAUUUUCCAAAAAAUGUUUCCCUGAUUUUCUAUUGUUUGAUUGGGUUAUUGCUUGCGAAAUUUUUUUAUAUAAAUGAAUUGAAAUUAUUUUUCAUGUCCGACUCGGAAGGCUAUCCAUUCAAGCUCCCUUCCUUGCUGUUUUUUAUCUCUAUUUUUCUUUGUCCUGGUCUUUCUUUCUCUUAGAUACAAGGACCAUGCGCACGUAUGGGGAGAUCUAGACUUGAAAUUGAAAGGGGCUAUAGGAAGAUCGUGAAGGAUGCUAGAGAAAGUUUGAUGUAUGAAAAUGAAAUGAACUUGCUAAUCUUGUGCUAAUAUGCAGUAAAUUUGAGGCAUGUUUGUACGAUGGUCAUUAACUAUUACCGUUUGGAUUGCUAUUUUCUAAAGUUUUUAUCCAAAACUUGUUGGACUUGUGUGGGCCAGCCUAUUUGUGGGCCAACCUAAAACACAAGUGGCUAAGACUCGAGGGCUUCAUGUGACAGAAAAUUCUGGCAGCUGCAAGAAAGUACUUUCAUUUUUUGUGUGAAGAAUUAUAGCCGCACAAGAGAGGAGAGAAACGAAGAGAGAGAAAGCGUGAGAGCUACAGAGAGAAAAUUCUUUGCAACUUUGAAGCCUCAGUUGGAAGGUGGUUUGAAAUCCGAUUGAGAUGAAAUUUUAAACACACGAUCCUCUCGUCAAUCUCUACUCAUCUACUGGUUCAAAUUUCAUAUUUCCUGUUCGUUUGGUAAUACCUUUCCAAACUCACUUCUUUGAUAGUGAUAAUUUUUGGGGGUGAUUUUAUAGCAGAUUGGCUUGGUUGGUAUUGGUGAUAUUAUUGUCAUUCGAAUAUUUCGGGUAGACCUAUAUAUUCCCAUUAUUGUGAUGGUGAAGAUUUUGACUGGACUAGAUCCCGUGAUUUUUUCCAAUUUGAAUUUUUCACGUAAAAAUUUGGAUGUCCUAUGCCUUUUAUUUUUCUUGCAUUUUAUUAUCACUACUGGUAUUAUUAUUUUGUGAUUUGGUUUGUUACUAUUUUAACUGGUACUUGGGAAAAGAGAAAUUUGUCCUGGGCUAACUCUGAUAUUAUGUGUCUGUACCAGUACCCCUUUCCCAACAAGUGGUAUCAGAGCAGUCAGGUUAGGCUGCUCAUUUGUACUAGUUAAAAAGGAAGGAUUUGGAUAAUGGUUGUAUGAUAAAAUUGAAUGCUAUUAAUUAUUCGAUUUGAAAACCUAGAAUGGAAAACUACCUGUAUUGUAGAGAUUUGUUUGAAUCUGUUCUAGGGAAUAAAAGUAGACCAAGUGAUAUGAGUGAUGAAAAAUGGGUUGUUAUGCACAGAAAAACUGUUGGUAACAUUAGAAAAUAGAUUGGUCAGAGUAUUUUUCAACAUUUUGCUAAUGACACCAGAACUGAUAUAUUAUGAAAAAAGCUUGAGAGCAUGUAUGAACGAAAGAUUGGUUUGAACAAGGCUAGUUGUCUGAAGCAGAUUACUCGGAUGAGAUAUAAAGAUGGGGAAGAUAUAUGAUUGAACACCUGAGUAAUUUUCAGAGAUUGAUAAAACCAGGCAACUACAUUAAAUUUGAAUUUGGAUGAUGAAGUGCAGGCUCUAUUAUUAUUUAGUUCACUACCGGAGAGUUGGGAAACCAUGGUGAUCUCCGUCAGCAAUUCAGCCCCGAAUGGUGUGUUGACUAUGGCUAUUGCAAAAGAGGCCGUGAUGAAUAAAGAUUCAGGAGAAAGGAACAAGGAAUUGUCUAUGAGUCCCAGGCCCUGGUGACAGAAAAGAAAGAAAGAAAAGAGAAAAACAAAAGUAGAAGACCCCAUAACAAAAAUGACAAAACCAGAGGUAGGUUUGAAUCUCGAAAAAAUAUUGUAUGCUAUUAUUGUAAAAAGAAUGGACAUUAUAUGAAGGAGUGCAGAAUCUUAAAAUGGGAACAAGCUGAGAAAAAGGGUAAGAAGGAAAAAGGUGAUGAAAAGACUACAGUAGUUGUGGCAGCUCAUGAUGAUAUGUUUGUAUUCUGUGAUGAUGGUCAGGUGAAUAUUAUUCAUUAUGACAGUGAUUGGGUAGUUGAUUCGGGUGCAUUCUACCAUGUUACUCCUCACAGGCAUUUCUUCUCAACCUACACCGAGGAGAUUUUGAAUAUGUUAGGAUGAAAAAUGAGGUCUCAUGCAAAGUUGUUGGCAUGGGAGACAUAUAUUUGGAUACAGAUACCGGGUGCCAGUUGAUAUUCGUCUUAAUCUUAUUUCUACAGGAAAACUUGACAAUGAGGGUUACCGUAGUUUGCAAGGUGGAGGCAAAUGGAAACUCAGCAAAAAAAAAUCUCAUUGUUGCUAGAGGAAAGAAGCAGAUUACCCUCUACUUGAUGCAAGCCAAGUUAGGGAAGGGAGAAGUGAAUGCAGUUCAUGAUUCAUCAAUUGACCUUUGGUAUAGGCGACUUGGGCACAUGGGUGAAAAAGGAAUUCAGACACUUGUUCGCAAAUACCUCCUAUCUGAAGUUAGAGGUAAUGCACUUAAAUCUUGUAUUGACUGCAUUUAUGGAAAACAAUACAGAGUUGCAUUUCAAAAUUUUUCUCUAUCUAGAAAAUUGAAUCCGAUAGAAUUGGUGCACACUGAUGUUUGCUAUAUGAAAGAUAAGUCUUUUGAUGGUACUGUUUAUUUUAUAACUUUUAUUGAUGACUUUGGUAGAAAGGUUUGGUGUUUUGUUUUGAAAUCCAGAUAUCAGGUUUUGGAUGUAUUUAAAGAUUUUCAUAGCAAAGUUGAAAGAGAAACUGAUAAGCAGUUAAAGAGUGUAUGUGCUGAUAAUGGUGGUGAGUACAGAGGACCAUUUCAAAUCUAUUGCAAGUCCCGCAGAAUCAGAAAUUUCCCGAUAAACUAUUACGUGAUUGAAGAGCAGAAAUUUUCAUUCCUUAACUUUUGGAACUUUUGAUCUUAAAAACUAGGUACCAAAACCUUAGUUGCUUUCUCUAGAUUCUCUCUUUCUAUUGGCAAUUAUUUUUACUCUCUCAAAAGUUUGAUUUCCAAUAAUUCUCCUCUAUUCUUCAUAUUUACAUUGCAUUUUCCUAUGUUUCUUUACAUUCCAUACUAUGAGAAUCUUAUUGAUUUUUAUUUACAAUCGAUUAUAAGAAUGAUACGAUGUGAAAUAAUAAUUUUUUCUGUUCGCAUUAGACUGAAUUAAAUAUUCUAUAUCGAGCAAUUUAUAGGUUGUUUAUCUUGCUUACAGAUCUAAUUUUUGCGUCAACAGAUUGAAACACUUUAGAAGAAUUCUAUACUUGUUUUUGCUAAUAAUUGAUUUAGUUGUUUAAUUUCUAAUUGAUAUACAUUCUAGCUUUUCUGCCAACAACUCUUAUGAAUUACCAACUAAUGAUUUUCAGGUAUUACAUUAAUUCUACUCACCUAAGUUUCACUCUCAAAACUCAAUUUGACCAGAUUAGCAUAAAAUCAAACUGCCCUUCCAAUUAUAUCACUUUACAUGAACAAGUAUUAAUUAAACUACUAGUAUUUAGGGCACACACCAAUGUGUGCACACCUAAUAAAAAAUAUAUGAUUAAAAUUUUAAGUAAAUAUGUUGAAAUCAUUUCAAAGGAAUUGGUUUUAUAUUUUUGACAAUGGGUAUUGGAAAAUUCACGAAAAUAAGUGUACAAAUAGAUAGUUAUUUAGCAGUAAUCCAUAACCAUAAUCGAUAGUUGAUUACAUUGGGUAGCUAGCAAGGUAAGUUAAAAAAUAAUAUAAAAUGACAAAAUUUUAUUUAUACCAAAAGCCCUCUCCCCCUUUAUAUAUUUACAACAAAAACCUUCUCCACCUUUACAUGGAGCAUGGAUAUUAUUUACUUAAGGACAAUUCAUGUCCCCCCCCUCCUUCCCCUCCUCGCCUUUUUGGUCAAUCGUUAACUCCUACUACUACUCCUACUCUAACCAAUAUUAGGGAAUGAUCCAACUGGACCAAUGGGGCUCCAAUGGGGCUGGACAAAGAAGAUCUCACCUGUCUAUCAAAGAGGUUCACUAGACCAAAGAAGGGUUGCUUCAUGUUCAAAUCUGCUAUUCUUUUUACAAGGCCAUAGAAAUUUCAAACACCUGAUGCCCAUUACGUUUCCCUUGCGUCAACAUUAAUCCAAACAUCAAGAAGUAAUUCCACUUAAUUAACCUUAUUUUCAUUUGAACUUUGGUUAUUUCUAAAGUGAUAAUCAUGUCUUACUAUUCAUUAAAGUGAUCUACUAUCAAUUAAAACUCCACUAGUAAAUUCUGUGCUCUCAUUUUCUGAUUUGCCAGAUUCUCAGUUGCACCUCGAAUUUACUUCAUACUAUAUGCCAUCACAGUGGAUCUAGAAUUAUUAUAAUAUAACCGCCUAGAAAUUUCUUCAAGAUAUAACCCAUUUCAAUAACUUCACCUACUCAUGAUUUUCAAUCUAGAAUUACCUGUAAUUUUAAGAUUCAAAUCAAGUGAUCAUAAGCCAUGUGAGAAAAACUAAUGAACAUAAAUUAAUUUUCUAACUCAUUGAUCGCCAUAAAUGGUCCUAUUAGAAACUAAUUCUUGCAAUCAAUAAUUGGUAGACAUGAAAUAAAAAUGUGUCAUAGGCCUCCUGAUCUUCUAAACAAACAUGUAAGGGCAGAAGGGGUUUCAUGAACAUCCUCCCAAUGAGGAAUGUUAUAUGAACAGAUCCCAAUCACGAAUUAAAGAUUUGUGAAAAAAAGUGAGAAACUCUAAAAAACUGGGCAAUUCCAAUAAAGUUUGGUAAAAUUUGAUAAGAGAAUGAGAUAUUACUUAGGCCCUGUUUGGCAAAUAAUUCCCAAUAAAUGUUUGAGUGAAACUUAGGCAUCGUUUGGCGAAUGAGUUUUUUUGGCGUUUGUUUAAAAUUUUACUAUAACUUACUGUAAAAAUUGUAGGAAAAAUUUUUAAAAUGAAAAACUUUUUCUUUUCUUUUUCUUUCUUUCUUUCUUUUUUCUUUUCUUUCCUUUCUUCUUCCUCUCCCUUCCCCGUCCCCAGCUACCUCUCCCUUCCAGUUGGAACAAGAAUUUUUUUUUUGCUCUCUUCUCUCUCCCGUCCCUUUUCUCCCUUUUCCCGGGUGCUUUCUAGUCGUGUGACCAGAUCGGGCAAAGGGGUAAGGGAAGGAUGGUGGGAGAGGGAAAUGGGGGAGAGAGGUGGAGAGGAAGAGGGGAUGAGAGGGGGAGAGGAGAGAGAGAGGAAGAAGAGAGAGAGAGAAAAAAAAAACAAAAGAGGUGGCCUUCGGCUCCAAUUGCGGUGGAAGGAGAAAUGAGGAAGAAAAUUUUUUUUGUUUGUUUUGGAUAUUUUGAAGUAUAUAGUUUAAAAUUUUUGAGGAGUUUUUGAGAUUACUGUAGUUAAAGUUGUUAAAAUUUUGGUAGGAAACAAACUUAGCCAAAAAUUCGUUUGCCUAACAGGCCAUUAGUUCUAGGAAUGCUUUGAAAAUCCUUGUUAGAGGGAUAGUGAAAUUCUUGUUAUCCAUUGAUAGGGUACUUUUAGUUGGUACAAUUGCUUAUAUUUUCCUUUUUGUUUACACCAGAUAUCACCCUAUUUGACUGGUUUUACCCACAAUUGGCAUUUUUGCAUUGAUUUCAGAAAUUUGAGCGAAAAACGCUUAAAUGAAGGAUUCCUAAUAGUUUGCACAUGGGCACGCCUAAGUUCAAGGUUCAAAGCCAGAAAAUUGAGCGGGAUUUCAGAUAGUUUCCCAAUCCAAGUCAAAUUAAAAAAAAUUGGCAGCUGCUAAAGUUUCCUAUUUCUUUGCAGUCCACGUCAGUCUUGAGCAAUUGGAAAGCUCUUAGGACAUUGAUUUGUAAUAGGAACCCUUUUUAGGAGUUUGAUUGGUAUGAGGGGACCAAUCAAUUAAGAAGUCGACUAGGGAGAAUUCGGAGGGGGAAUGCUUUUUGCUUGAGAAAAACAUAGUUGUUCUUUUUUUUUUCUUUUUGACCAAAUUGGAGAAAAAAAAACAAUUGUAAGCUUCGAACAGAUUAUCUUUUGGCAUGGCUUGUUCUCCCUUGAUGGAGAACUAAUCUCGUAUCUCUAGUCAAGGAACACUGAGGAUUUGGUUCAACUAUCACUGUGAGAUAUAAUUGAUUUUAUUUAUCUCCUCUAUUCAUUGGUAUUUGUAAGUUUUCUACUUUAUAGAGUAUGAUUAUUGUGUGUGAUUAAAUAGGUGCGCAACAUUUAAUUAUACACGUAAUCUAUUUGCUAAUUGUAAUAGUCUAAUCCGUAAUUGUUUGACUGCUCUAGUCUUGAUAGCAACUGGCAUAAUUGAGUUUGUGUCGGGAAAAACGUACAGUCUAAUUUAAAUAAACUCUCGUAGCGUGUUUAUUGAUUAGAGUAGGGUUUCUCUAGUUUCUAAUGCAAUUGAGGAACUAAAUCCUACGGUCGCACCUAGGGUUAUUCCUAAAUUAGAGAAAUAGUCAAUGGUUGUACCUUAACUAUCGAAACAGUAAGGAGAAACUGAUUGUCAGAUCGUAUCGGCAGUUAAAAACCUGUUUACUAAUGAAUGUUGGGAUUAUAAUUGCAUCAAUGAUCAGUACCUGAACCACCUCUAAAGUAUAACCAUGACUAGAGCUUUUUCCCAUUAAUUGUCUCCCCCAAUCUCUUUUGCAUACUUUAUUACCUUAGUGAUAUUCCACUAGUUUUUAAUUCUUGACAAUAAAAACCCCCUCCUCUUUGACUUGAAAAAAGAGCAAAUAAUCCACAAUCCCUAUUGAUUCGAUCCUGCUCACCGUUGUAUACAAAAUUCAUUCUUUUGUUGAGUAAGUUUUUAUUGCACAGGCUCGAUACCUGUCAUCCAUUAAUAUCUAAGGUCAUGUUAUUCAAUAAUGGUAAUUGUGAAAAUUUUUUUUUGCUCUUUUUUAAUUCAAGCUAUUAUUCAAAUUAUAGUAAUUUAUUGUUGAAUUUGGAUUAUUUAUUGUUGAAUUUGGCUAGGUAUAAAGUUAAUUGAAGAUGCAUAAAAGUUUCAUAAAUAAGGCAGCCUGUUUCGACUUUGUUUUCGAUUAUGUUUGUGAACUUUAAUGACACAAAGGGCAAGCUACUCCUACCACUGCUACUUGUUUUGCAUUUUGGGGACGACUACCGCAUCUCUCGCUGGAGUUGAUACCGGCAUAGCAAAAUAGUAAUCCAAUAUGCAAUUAACGAAUUUCUUAUGUUUAGUUAAGAAGAAAGCGGAAGAAAACAAGAAUAUGAGAACAGAUGGAAAUUAAUGUAAAACAAAAGGAAUAAAAGGCAAAUUACACUUUAUCUCCAAUGAUUUAGUAUUUUUAUACAUAACUCUCGUAUAGUUUUAAAAGUUAUAUAUAACCCUCUCAUAACUUGAAUUAAAGUGUCAAAAUGACGGAAAUGAUCAUUCGUAAAAGAACCUAUGAAAAUGUCGAAAUUAUCCUUGUUUAAAAACUCAAAUGGUUGAAGUGAUCAACAUGUAUAAACAUAAUAUGCAUGACACUCUAACCCGUAUAAUUUUAUAUGUUACUAUAUAACUCUUUUAUGAUUUAAUGCUUUACUAUAUAACUCCCUUAUUGUUUUCACUAUAUAUACAUAACUCGCUUGUAGUCAAUAAAUAAUUUUCAACUUUAUAGAGGGGCAUUUUUUGUAUUUUAAUUGACUCCGUCAUAGAUUGCAAAUUUCGUUACUUUGAUACUUUAAUUCAAACCAUGAACAGAUUAUAUAUAAUUUUUAAAAUUAUGAGAAGAUUAUGUAUAAAAAAAUAUUAAACUAUAGGGGGAUAAAGUAUAAUUUACCCGUAUAUAUGCAGCGUCCCGCCCCUCUCCUCUCACUGGAUUGGGAGGACUGUAGUAUGAAAGGCUGCAUGCAUGCAACGUCCAGCCUCUCUACAAGCAUUUAGAACCAUAUAGAGAUGAUGCUUUAUCUGAGCUUACUUUAUCAGACGACCAAUGCCAAAGAAAUUGGAUACGUAUCUCCUUAAUACUACUACUCCAUCAUUAUUAGCUAGUGUUAUUAUUGAUUUGGUAGUAGUAUUCCUGUCACUUGGCUGCAUUAAAUAAGCUCAUUAAUCAAUUACCCUGAUUGUUUAUUCCAACAAAUUGCCGAAUAAUGAUAUUAAUUAAUACUUACUCCAUGAAGUAUGUAACUAAUGCUGCUGCAGCUUAAGGGAUUCAGAUUUUCUGUAAUCACAGCAGUGUCAACAGCGUACACUUAGUUGUGGCUUGAAAUUAAAAAGAUAGAUUGAAUAGAUGACACAUGUUUGUUUUUCAUCGAGUGAUAAAAUUUAUUAUGUAUUCUGUAGUUAUUGUUGCAGUAUCUAUCUACAUAUUUGGUCUUUAACAUUUAAUAUUUACGUCCACGAAGACUUGUUGUAAUGAUUUCCACGAAGACUUCCAAGUCAUCGUGCCUGUUUCAAGCCACCGUGGGCCAUCGUUCCGAUCAAUGGAGGUUCUUGCGUGAAUAUGUUUGUGUGGGAGAACGAAUAUGUAUCUAAUGAUACACAGAACAACUGAAAGAAAAAUGCUUAUAACAUUUGUUUUGCUGAAGAACAGACAGAAAUUCAAAAUGAAGCACGUACGAUUGAGCUUCAUGCGACAAUUUUAUUUAAUUUGGGCAUGGAUGACCAACCCAUUGUUUAUUUAUUUAUCAUUUUCGUCUCCAGGAUUAACAACCAGGAGUACAUUUGAUUUCAUCCCUCCUUCGAUAGAUAGCGAUCGAGAGGAAACUGAUCAGACAGCACCAGCAUAGGACCGUAGCAUGGACUUGAAAGUUACCUCGUGAUGAAGGUAGGGGAAGACCAUGAUGCCUCCAUAAACAGAAGAGUUCUUCAGAUAGGGAAGAACGUCAUCAACUAGCACAUUAGGUGGGAUGUAACCGCCCUCAGGUGCGAUAUCCUUGGAUAUAGGUAUUCCCAGGAACAAUAGAUUAACGCCUCUAUAAUUAGACCACCUGUCCCAACUCCGGAAGAGGAGACUGGUAUCCUUUGGAGGCCUAAUCUGACAAGAUGGGUUAUCGAAAAAUUCCACCCGCACCUGAUCAACGAGUCCAGUUUUGAUAGUUGCGUCAAGAGCAGGGUCAGGAAUAGGACAUUCCGCCUCUACAGCUAAGAUCACAUUUGGGUAUCCCUUAAGUGCCCGAGCAAGAUCAUCCAAGUAAUUCGUGUUUCCGCUGUGGAUGUGAAUCUCUACGCCAUCUAAAACAGCUUUGCCGAAUGGUCGGUCACUUGACUGACCGCCUAAGUAAGUGUUCCAGAUAUAGGCUGCCACUUCUUCUGCAUCUUCGACGGAAGAAAGCCUCGGAGGUCCUGCGAGAGAAAUAAAGACUUUUGUCUGAUGUUUCUGGCAAGAUUCUAUGUCUGCUGCGCUCGGCCGAGGAUGAAUUAUGCUCAAUUGAGGCAUCUGGCCACUGCCGAAAUCUUCCAGAAAGGCAAUAUUAACGUCGGUAGCGAAUUCUCGCCUGCAGAACUCACUCACACUUUUUGGUUCUGUAUGGCCUCGGCCCCAGUAUCGGACAAUUCCGGCAGCUUCGGAGGACCCAAUCAGAGAAGCAAUCAACAACAGGAAUGUUAUUGCUGAGAACAGUGGUUGCAAAGAGGCAGCCAUUUUCUUUUCUUUCUUUUCAGUGAUUUUUGCAGCUUCGCUUUGGUGAGUUCACUUGCACAAUGACUGACCAUUUUAUAGAUGAGUUUAUCUCAAGUGGAUGUUCAGCAUCUAGAAAAUCCAAACAUCCGUACAUGAAAACGUGAAUGGCAUAGUAUUAUUUUUCUGUUUUUAAUUUUGCGGGAGACUACCGUUGUACUCGCCUAACCUCAUCUGCAAUUGGAUGAAGAAAGAUUUUUUUUUUGGACGUUACAUGGCAGCUAUGGGGGGAAGGGGAACAGGUCCAAAGCCAAGCUCCAAAGCCAAUUCCCAGUUGGUUGUAGUUAAAGGGAUCUUCCUCUAACCUGCCGUCACAUCCUUUCCAGAAGCCAAGACAGCAGAAACUAUGUCCACAGCCGAGAUAUGUCUCUGCUGAAACAUACCACAACAUUAUUGAAAGCCAAUCCCCGGACCUGACCAACAAAUGAGUUUUGAGUGGCAGUCCAGGUGCAAAUGCAACCUCAUUGUGAUACAACACGGAGAAAAAGGUCUAAUGGUUAAGGCCGAGAUUUCAAUAAUUGGAGAUGUUUUAGGCUCAAAACCCUCUUUGCUUCUUAAAUUCCACCCUUCAAUCCUACGUUAUUGAAGGCUCAAAACAUAUUGAGCCUUCAACUACUCAUCCUAUUUUUCUAGAAUUUUAAUUAUUUUUUCAAAAAUUGAUUCAUGCCUUCCGUUUGGAUUCACCAUAAUGUCAUGCAAUGCAUUGUUGCUUUUAAUUCCUUAAUUUUAACGUAGCCCCAAACAUGGCAUACAAUAGUCACUCUCAAAAUAAAUGCAAGUAAUUAAUCAUACCAAACAUAACGUUUGGAUUAGGUAUUGUAGCAUACCUUAGUUUUAUUCUGUUCCCUGUUUUACUUAGUUUCAAACAUGCCCUACAAUGUUCAAUAAUGCAAUUAAAUAAACAUACCAAAAAUAUCUAUAUAUAUUUGAAACUAAAAAUAAUUAUAUCCAUAAUAAUCAAUAUAAAAAAUUGACUGUCGCGCCCCACUUUUUGAAAUGGUGUGGAAAUAGUGUGUGAAAUGCAUGUGAACGUGUGCAAAAGUGAAAAGAAAAGACCGUGGGAUUGUGAAAUGCGACGGUUUGGUCAAAUAAAGUUCAAAAGGGUAUUUUUGUAUGAAAAAUGGAGUCGCCACUUGGUAUAGAGUUAGGGUGUACCAAGUCACCCAAAGAUGAUUUUUAUUUUUGAACGAAAAAGUAAAUAAAUCCUUUUAAAGAACUUUUAGGUCUACGUAACCAAAGAAAGGGAUCGGGGGUCACAUUUGAUAAGGGAGAAGGCAAAGGCAAUGCUUAAGGCACUCCCUUACCCUAGCCAAAGCUAGUUGCGUGACUUAACCCCACUUUUCCUAAUUAUUCUACCCAAAGUAUGUAUCGUAUGUUGGAUAUGACUAAUGGAUGCGAAAAGGAAAAAAAAUGCAAUCCUAAAUCUAAAAUGUUUCUCGUGAGACUUUUAGGUCCCAACCACAUGAAUUGUGGUGGCCAAUAAGGAAAGCUCUCAUGGAAGUCGUGAUUAAUGUAAGUGAGGACUCAAGUGCAAGUGUGCAAGUGUGAGAAAAUAAAGGUGUUUGUGUGUGCAAAUGAAUAAAAAUAGGAUAUUAGAUACGUAUAAGUGCAAUUUGAGUGCCAUUUGUGAGAUAGGAAAAAUAAAUGAGGGAUAGGAAAAAAGUGGUGAGAAAAUGGAUUGAGAAAAAUCUAAGUAGUGAGAAAAUGUGGCUAAAAGAGUUAGGAGGUGAUAUAAAAGAAUGCAAGUGUAUGACCCUAAGGGAAUGCAUCAAGUCGGGCACGGGAAGGACUUCUAACUUUACGACUUUAAUUUUCCCUUGGAUUAGAAGGAAGAACUAGCAUGCUAAGGCUAUUUUGUAGCCAAACUCGCUCGUUUCCCUUAUCGAAAGGGGACUCUCAAGCAAAUGUAUCCUAUAACUAGCAUGAGGAUGCAAAAAGCCUAAAAUGAGGGGAAAAGGAUUGGAGGAGCAUGCCAAAUGAUAAAAACUAAGAAAAAUGCAUGAAAUGUAGUGAACAUGCAAGUAUGCACUAACGAAAGGGGAACGGCUUAUUGGGUCUAGCGUUGGACUAGCCCUUUCUAUGAAUUUCUAACGAAAUAAUGAGCCACAACUAGCAUUGGACUAGUGUGGUGACGUACAUUCAUCCAUCACAUUCAUCUACGACUAUAGAAAGCAAGUAGACAUACCAAACACUCAUAAACACAUAACACAUAACACUUAGCAUGCUCGACUAGAUGCAAGAACCUAAUAAAGCAAAUUAACACAUAGCCACAAAAGCAAGCAACCAAGCUAAUAGACCUAUUACAUUUGCUAGUUAGGCAUACGUUUUCAAUAGAUCUUCAUCAAAUGCUCCUCCAAGCCCUAUCUAUUACAAGCCAAGAGGUGUACACAUACCCCAUAAAAGAAUAACUUAAUUAAAAGCAAAAGUAAAUGAAAUAAAGGAACUAAAGAAAGGCGAGGAAAGCAAAUUAGACAUGCAAAUCUCACUUAGCACGUUGGAUCACAUAGGAGAGACAAAAAAGGAUAAAAGAAAUUAUACCUCCCCCUUUUUGUGGUGCCAAUAAAGUGGAUAAAACUUAACUUGGGCUAUAGUCACCAAAGAAAGGGAUAACUUGGGUUAAAACCAUCAAACAAAGAAUUAAUGUACCAAUUUAGUGGUAAGAUGUAAACAAGACAAUUUGAAUCCACCAAAGUAUCAAAUCCUUCCUCGAGGGCAACUCAAAUGAAGCCAAAUAAUGCAUGAAAACCAAGGAAACGGAAUGACACAUUCCAUUCCCAAAUAUGGCAUCUAUUAGGGACCCAAAAGUAAUCCUUGACCAAUCAUUCAAGGCCAAAUUAAAACCUUUUAGGAACUUUAAAGGUCCAAGAGCAAGAAAAGGUCAAGUUGCCAAUUUAUUUAGGGAAGUUAAAGAAAAUAGGCAAGCACGAGUUCAUUUAGGCACAAAGUUCACAAAUUCAUGCAUUAAGUACCACCUAAACAAAACAUGGUAAUUAAUGAAAGCAAACAAACAAUCGAGUUGAAAAAAUGAGGCUACCAAGGAUUCAAUUGCGAACAUUAACCAAGCACUCAAGUCGAAUUAAACAUUUUUAGGAACUUCAAGGGUCCAAGGGCAAAGAAAAGGUCAAGUAAUGGCUCAAAAUUCAAUUAUUCUAAGACCUAUUUGCAAGAAAUUAGAACUCAAUUGAGUCUUUGUAGCAUUGCUGCAAAAUUACAAGGACCAAAUUGAUUAGUUUUUCCAAUUUCUGGGUCAUAGUAGCAUAAGGGGAAACUUGAGGGGGUUAAAAGGCAAUUUUCUUGGACAUUUCUCAUGCAAGAGCAUGCAACACACGUAGGAAGCUUGUUUCUGCAAUAUUUCUGUCAUGCUUUAUCAACCGAAACAACAUUCAAAACAGAUUUCAAAUCCACAUACACAGCUUUAAACUAAGCAGCGAACCAUCAUCCAAACAAACAGAAAACUUAGCAAGAUCCAGUGCAAAAAAUGAAAUGCAUUCGGCAAGUUGAAAGAUCUGGAAACAUAUGAAACUGGUUCGGCAAGUCCUGGUUUGUUCAUUUUUAGCAAUUGUCUGGUCAUAGUUCAAGUGUUUAAAACCCAAAUAUGCAAGUUCAAACCAAUCUUCCACUGCCCCCUUCCCACACAAAACUAACUAACAAAAAUAGAAGAGGCUAAAGCCUGUUGAAAGGUCACAGAAAAAGGCAGAGAGCAAAGUAGGUGCGGAAACCUUUGCUCUACUGCAAUUUUCUGUUACAAGUUCGCAACUCCAACUUGCGCGAAUGAAUGCAGAAAUGCAACAAAACCCAAAGAGGGAAACUCGUGACAAAGGUGAACACCACAUACCAAACCAAACCAAGCAAAACUUUAACAAAUAAAGGAAGGAAGCAAGGUUCGUCCCUACUGCUGCAACAAGCCGAGGGCUUUGAAUUCGUUGCAGCAGCUUUGAAUCACUUAGCUACAACCAAACAAGACGCAGACUUUAUGAACAAAAUCCAGCAACUUUAUUUUCCUAACACUAGGAAUGGACAUUUCCUAAACUGAAACAAACAUAGCCAUGCUGGUUCAAUUAACAAGAGCAGCGAACAAAAAGAAAGCAAAGCAAUGUAGCCAAGUCGACAUGAACGACGCUGCAGCAGAUUUUCUGUUAUGGACUUUCCAAACACAUUUUUUAACUCCAGAUGCUGUUCAUGGGAUUUCACUCAAUCAUAGAUAACAAAAACAAGCAAGGUCAAUUGAGUCACAACUUCAGCAAGACAAAGGAGAAGAAGCCAACAUAUCCGAAUUGCUGCAACAAGUCAAAAAGAUUCAAUCUUGUUGCGGCAAGCUCUUAACCUAAGGACCCAAAAACAAAAGGCCAAAUUCACAGAAGGGACCUCAACAUCAGUCAUCAAAGCACUGAACAACAUCCAGGCUCUUCACAGUCCCAUCAUCUUAAACAGAUUCACAGUGAAUGCAUACAAGAGAAAGCUUCAGUAUUUCAUGAAUCCAGUGACUAAAAACAGGUAAAAGCUAUUACCUUUACGCUUUUCAAAAGCCAAAUGGGAGCUGAGAUGAUCGAUAGAAAGGGGUGUACACAUACCCCAUAAUUUUAUAUGUUACCAUAUAACCCUUUUAUGAUUUAAUGCUUUACUAUAUAACUCUCUUAUUGUUUUCACUAUAUAUACAUAACUCGCUUGUAGUCAAUAAAUAAUUUUCAACUUUAUAGACGAGCAUUUUUUAUAUUUUAAUUGACUUCGUCAUAGAUUGCAAAUUUCGUUACUUUGAUACUUUAAUUCAAAUCAUGAGCAGAUUAUAUAUAAUUUUUAAAAUUAUGAGAAGCUUAUGUAUAAAAAAUAUUAAACUAUAGGGGGAUAAAGUAUAAUUUGCCCGUAUAGCGUCCCGCCCCUCUCCUCUCACUGGAUUGCCUCUCACUGGAUUGGGAGGACUGUAGUAUGAAAGGCUGCAUGCAUGCAACGUCCAGCCUCUCUACAAAUAUUUAGAACCAUAUAGAGAUGAUGCUUUAUCUGAGCUUACUUUAUCAGAAGACCAAUACCAAAGAAAUUGGAUACGCAUCUCCUUAACACUACUACUCCAUCAUUAUUAGCUAGUGUUAUUAUUGAUUUGGUAGUAGUAUUCCUGCCACUUGGCUGCAUUAAAUAAGCUUAUUAAUCAAUUACCUUGAUUGUUUAUUCCAACAAAUUGCCGAAUAAUUAUAUUAAUUAACACUUACUCCAUGAAGUAUGUAACUAUUGCCGCUGCAGCUUAAGGGAUUCAGAUUUUCUGUAAUCACAGCAGUGUCAGCAGCGUACACUUAGUUGUGGCUUGAAAUUAGAAAGAUAGAUUGAAUAGAUUGAUAAAAUUUAUUAUGUAUUCUUUGGUUAUUGCUGCAGUAUCUAUCUACAUAUUUGGUCUUUAACAUUUAAUAUUUACGUCCAUUAUAUUCUGUAGUUAUAUUGUUGUAAUGAUUUCCACGAAGACUUCCAAGUCAUCGUGCCUGUUUCAAGCCACCGUGAGCCAUCGUUCCGAACAAUGGAGGUUCUUGCGUGAAUAUGUUUGUAUGGGAGAACGAAUAUGUAUCUAAUGAUACACAGAACAACUGAAAGAAAAAUGUUUAUAACAUUUGUUUUGCUGAAGAAUAGACAAAAAUUCAAAAUCAAACAAGUACGAUUGAACUUCAUGCGACAAUUUUAUUUAAUUUGGGCAUGAAUGACCAGCCCGUUGUUUAUUUAUUUAUCAUUUUCCUCUCCGGGAUUAACAACCAGGAGUACAUUUGAUUUCAUCCCUCCUUCGGUAGAUAGCGAUCGAGAGGAACUGAUCAGACAGCACCAGCAUAGGACCGUAGCAUGGACUUGAAAGUUACCUCGUGAUGAAGGUAAGGGAAGACCAUGAUGCCUCCAUAAACAGAAGAGUUCUUCAGAUAGGGAAGAACGUCAUCAACUAGCACAUUAGGUGGGAUGUAACCGCCCUCAGGUGCGAUAUCCUUGGAUAUAGGUAUUCCCAGGAACAAUAGAUUAACGCCUCUAUAAUUAGACCACCUGUCCCAACUCCGGAAGAGGAGACUGGUAUCCUUUGGAGGCCUAAUCUGACAAGAUGGGUUGUCGAAAAA